UGUAUGCCAAUCUCUCCUUUUAUUCAAUCACCCAACAACAACAUGAUGCACGACUCAACAACACAUGUAAGAAGAAACUAUACUUGGCCACCACGUGAACAAGCACACUUAUGAUUUACAUACUGAGGUUACUAAUUUAGACAACACAACAUAAACUGAUGUACAAGACAGAGACACAAUUGACUUCAUCAUAGCCAGACAACAUGGAUGAGAACGCGGCUGCUCUCACCACUUUUGAGGCCACUUCUUAUUUCUUAGGCUGCGGCUGCUUCUUCUUAGCCAUCAUCUCUUUUUCUGAGUCAGCCUCACGUUUAUCCUACGGUUACGCCCCUUCUUAGGAUUCCUUCGUUGUGCCCCCGGCUUAUUGGUUGACGGUUGCGUUGGCCUGUUAGGGGGAACCGUUGUACCUGGAACCUUUGGACCUGACUUGUCCAUGACGCCUCCUCCCCUCCUCCUCCUCCUCCUCCUCCUCCUCCUUCUUCUUCUUCUUCUUCUUCUUCGCUUGUGCAAGGUAGCUGAGGUGAGGUGGAUGUGGUGUUUGUUUUGCACCGGUUGGUUUGUGGAAUCCUGCAGCAACGGCGCGCGCAUAUAUAUAGGAGGAUUAAGGACUUGGGAAAGCGCUCUGGCCGGACAAGGUGGUUUCAUCGAAGGAAAAUGAUUUGGUGGCAUCCCCAGUGCUGCUGUUAGUCAGUCUCUUUUGUGUCGUUUUGGGGAGUAGAUAUGUAUAUUUGAUUCAUUUGUUAUGGGUGGAUAGGUAUGCAGUUGAGUCAGUGGUCUUCGUUGCUGACAGUUGAUCUUCAUUUCUUCUUCUCAUCCUCCUUGUACUAUAGCUACAUCAGAAUAAGUGUUGGUGGUCAAGUUUUACUAGCAUAUACCACACGGCUUGUUACUUGUUAGGCCAUCUUCAACGGCUAUCCGUGGACAAAGAGGAUCAGUCCGCGGACACAAAUUUGGGAGCCGGCUAUCCAACGCUGCACCAUACAUUUGAAACACUUUGUCAACAAAGCAGAUGUACCUCACUCAGACACAUCAGAUUACAUAUAAACCUGGUGAAAAACAUUUAUAUUUUUGACAUAUUCUAACUAAAAAACUAAAACUAUGUGCAUGUACCACCACACGGAGGUCCACUACCUUGACACGGAUACAUUACACUAGUCUACGAUCGGCCGCGGAGUGUCCCUUUGUCUUCCCCUUGUCAGGCAGUCUGGUGACUCAUCGGAUUGCUGGGAGCCCCGGAGGUAUAUUCCUCCCCUGUAUCUUCCCUAUGUCUGGCUGCGCCGCUUAUCGGAGUGGCAAAAAGGGUGCUUCAGUCGAAAGGGAAGGGGGAAUCCGCUUCCGUGAAGCGCGGAUCAGGGUUGGUGUUUGGGGCAGGGGAAGAUGGUGGCCUGCGAGACAGGGCGAGACAUUUGGUGUGCAUGCGGCGAUGCUGCGGCGGUGGCCUUCUAAGGACCCAAGUGGCGGCGGGCUCCCAUGUUCUACUUUUCCUCGAUUUUGUCGGCAAACGCGGACAUGCUAGCCGCCGCCUCGUCGAUCUCCACUAUAUAUGAGAUGCCUAGUAUAUAAGUGUCCUACUAGGACACGACUUCAUAUUCUAUCUAAACACAAUACUACUCAGAGUCCAACUAUAACCUACCUUAUACACAAUAUUCCAUACAACUCUAACAACUCCGGCUGGGUCAAGGAAACCUCAUGCACGGCCGGCUGGAAGACGCGCUUCCACCAUGGAGAAUGGUUUGGUGGCGUUCAGAGUCAGUCUCGUUUGUUUUGUUCUGUUUUCAGGAGUAUGUAUGCACAUUCGAUGCAUUUGUCAUUGACGGAUGGAUGCGGUCGGGUCAAAGGUCGUGGUCGUCUCCGCGUCAGUCUUCACUUCUCCUCCAUCUCCUCUUCCUUAUACACCUACAUUAGAACUUGCGUUAGGUUAAGUUUAGGAAGCAUACGGAAUUUCUUUUAGUUAUAAUCAAAUAGAUUAAGAUAUCUUGCAAUCACACCAUGUCAUAGGCACAUGUGAUUUUCAUGCAAAUUAUUUCUUUGACCUGCUAUCACCAGCAACUGCCAGCCUGAACCAUUUUAUAUCAAUCCAAACCAAAACGAGCUACCUGUACAAGAUGGAGAUAAUUGCAACAAAUUCAGACCGUGUACGUCUAGUGCAUCUGUUGAUAGCAUUUAACCUGCCAUGAUUCUUUGAGGAUGCAUGUUGGCCUAUGCAUCCUUUGAUUGGAUGGACUUCUCUAAAUAUUCACUACACAAGUCAGUCAUUCUCAGAAGUGGACGGUCCAGCGAAUUUGGAAGGGUUAAGAACAUGGUUAAUAGUAUAGCCAGCUGCCAUGUCAUCUACAGCUCAUUUUAUAGUCAAUAUGUACAAUAUUAGAUCAAAAGAGUGUACUACUUUUUUAUUAUGUGGUCCACCUUUCAUUCUCACAAAGUGCCUAGGAGCACGUGCUAGAGCUCGCUCUUCAUGAAGAGCCCGCUUAUCUUCUUUCUCCUCUUCUCUUUACUCCAACUAAGCAGAAAUAUACUAGUUUAUUCCUUAUAGCCCGCUGACUCAGCUCUAUUGUACUUGCUCUAAGGAAAGAAAAUUAUCUAUUGGCUAUGGCUGAGACUAAUUCUGACUGAUGUUGUUGAUGUGUCUGCUAAUUUGGCAAAAUUCCUCGCUUGUCCAAUUGCAGCAUCUCGCUCUAGUAGUAGUCCAAGUCUCUCAGCCUCAAAUACGAUGCAUAUGACUAUUUUAAUGGAAAAACCUGUUGGCGUGUUGCGUCAAAUGGCACAGACCGGCCAAGCUGGGCCGGCCCAUUAAGAUGUACAGUUGUUCUCCGUCUUGGGGAACCUUUCGGAAGGUUCCAGUCUGGUUUUCACCGUUUUUUGUUUUUCUUUCCUGGUUUUCAUUUUCUUUUUUUCUUAAAUAUUGGUCUUUUUGGUAAAAAAAUAUCUGUUAUAAAAUAUCAAAUUGUUCAUGUUUUACAAGUUUAUUGGAAUUUCUAAAAAUGUUUUCACUUCCAAAAAUUCUUCACAAACUAAAAGAUGGUCAUGUUAUUAUAAAAAAUGUUUGUAAUUUUUUAAAAUGUUCCUGUAUUUAAAAAGUGUUCACAAAUUCAAAAAAUAGUCAGGAACUUCAAAAAAUAUGUUUAUUGUUCAUUUUUUAAAGGCACAUCUUCCAAAAAAAUAGAUUCUUCAUAAUAAGGUUUAUGUUUUUAAAAAAAUAAAUCCACCAAAAAUAUGUUUACUAUGGGCAUUUGGGGCAUGUUUUGGGGUGUUGUAACGGGGCUUCCACCCUGCUAGUGCAUGUUCUAUGCUGGUUUCAGUCUAACCCGCCAAGAGUGUUUCCUAUUGUACUGCUUGCUUUCUUUCUAAUAAAGAUCGGCCAAGGGCCCUUCGAGAAAAGAUCUUCCCCUUUAAUGGCGGAUUUGGUUUUUUAAUGGGAGGAAGAACAACAUACCAGGCUACCAACUCUCCCAUUAAGAGUAGAGAUUCCCGAGAAGCCGCUGGCGCUAGAUAUAUGACCGCAGCCAGGCGAGAAAGACGCGGGAUUCUAGAUGGGGAUAAGGAACAAUAUUGGUGGAGAUGAAGAAGGGUUGGACGAAACCAAAAUUAACAUAUCCUUGUCAAAACAAGAAACCAAAAUUAACAUAUGAUGAUGAAGGAAAGUACAGGGGAUGUGUGGGUAAGGGAAGGAAAGCAAAUAAUUGAUCGAAUCGGCACCAGGUUUUGUUGGGACACACGUGAUUUCUUGUUAUGAUGUUCGCACUUGGGAGAAGCAGAACAUAGCGAGCUAGAAUGGUCAUGCCAGCUGCUGCUUAGACAGGCAUCUCCGGCGUGCUGGGAAUCAAUGUCCCGACAUGCUCGAAACAGGAGGGCGCUGCACCGUGUUGGAACUGGACAACCACCAUGUUGUAACUGUGGUUGAACACCAGUGGUGGGGACAGAUGCGAGGGACCUGUCCUGUGAGGGCGGCAACACCACGGCGAGCGGUAGCUAGCCGGUAGUGCUUCGAGAAUCGGUCGGCGCACGUCCAUCACAAGUAUAGUGGCGCUAGCUAUCGACUCUUUUCGAUCAAAUGGGAAGGAGCGAGCACUGUGUGAGGAAGGAGACGAAGAGAAGAAGAAUCGAAACGUGCCAGUGGGGCCAAUCCGGCUGGCACCAAGCGACCAACCAAAUUUUGGGCAAGUCGACCGGCGCCUAGCGCCGCCCUUGGAAAUGUCAUUGUAUCGAUGCUAACGUAUUUUUCAAUGUACUGGAUGCACUCAUGGAACAUGUAUGUCAAUCCUUCCUUUUAUUCAAUCACCCAACAACAACCUAAUGCACGACUCAACAGCACAUGUAAGAAGAAAGUAUACUUGGCCGCAACGUGAACAAGCACACUUAUGGUUUACAUAUUGAGGUUACAAAUUAACCUGCCACAACAUAAACUAACGUACAAGACAGAAACACAAUUAACUUCAUCAUUGCCAGACAACAUGGAUCAGAAUGAAAAAAAAUAAAAUAUAGUAAAAAGAACAUGGAUCAGAACGCGGCUGCUCUCACCACUUUUGAGGCUAUUUCUUAGUAUUUCUUAGGCUGCGGCUGCUUCUUCUUAGCUAUCCUCUGUUUUUGCGAGUCAGCUUCAGAUCUUUCCUACGAUUACGCGACUUUUUAGGUUUCUUUGGUUGUGCUUUGGCUUAUUGGGUGGCGGCGGCGUUCGCUUGUUAUGGGGAACCGUUGUACCUGGAACCUUUGUACCUGUCUUCUCCAUGACGCCUCCUCCUCCUACUCCUCCUCUCCCUCCUCCUCCUCCUCUCCUUCUUCUUCUUCUUCUUCUUCUUGUGCGAGGUAGAUGAGGUGAGGUGGAUGUGGUGUUUGUUUUGCACCGGUUGGUUUGUGGUGUUCUGCAGCAACGGCGCGUGCAUAUAUAUAGGAGGGAUAAGGAAUUGGGAAAGCGCUCUGGCCGGACAACGUGGUUUCAUCAAAGGAAAAUGGUUUGGUGGCGUCCCCAGUGCUGCUGUUAGUCAGUCUCUUUUGUGUCGUUUUGGGGAGUAGAUAUGUAUAUUCGAUUCAUUUGUUCUUGGCGGAUAGGUAUGCAGUUGAGACAGUGGUCUUCGUUUCCUCUUCUCAUCCUCCUUAUACUAUAGCUACAUCAGAAUAAGUGUUGGUGGUCAUAUUUUGCUAGCAUAUUCCACACGGCUUGUUACUUGUUAGACCAUCUUCAACGGCGACCGCAGAUUACCUCCAACAUCCAUCCAUGGACAAAGAGGAUCAGUCGUCCGUGGACAGAGAUAUGGGAGCCGGCUAUCCAACACUUCCCGCAUACAUUUCAAACACUUUUUCAACAACCCGGAUGUACCUCAUGCAAACACAUCAGAUUUCAUACAAACCUAGCGAAAACAUUUAUAUUUUUGACAUAUUUUAACUGAAAAACGCAUGUACGACCACACAGAGGUCCACUACCAUGACACAGAUACAUUACACUAGUCUACGGCCGGCCGCGGAGAAUCCCUUUGUCUUCCCCUUGUCAGGCAGUCCGGUGACUCAUCGGACUGCCGGGUGCCAAGGAGGUAUAUUCCUCCCCCGUAUCUUCCCUAUGUCUGGCUGCGCCGCUUAUCGGAGUGGCAAAGAGGGUGCUUCAGUCGGAGGGGAAAUGGGAAAUCCUCUACCGUGAAGCGUGGAUCAGGGUUGGUUUUUGGGGCAGGGGAAGAUGGUGGCCCGUGAGACAGGGCGAGACAUUUGUUGUGCAUGCAGCGACGUAGCGGCGGUGGCCUUCCAAGGACCCAAGUCGGCGGGCUCUCAUGUUCUACUUUUCCUCGAUGUUAUUGGCGGACGCGGCCGUGCUGGCCGCCGCCUUGCCGAUCUCCAAGCUGGCUUCUUUUUCCAUCGACAAGGCGCGGUCCUGCGAACGAUGAUGUCAGAUGGCUCGUAUCUGGAGGGUUCGGCAGGCCACCCAGCCAGAUUUUAUACCGGGCUCUUCCUACACGCCGAAUGUCAUGAAAAGAGUGAAGAAAAUAGUGGAAGGAGGAGAUGGGGAGCGGAGGAGAGGUGCGAUUGUUGCCCGGCGUCUGGCCUCCUUUAAAUAGCGAGCAGGUGCGAGGAAAUUUCCCGUUGUUGUGUUUAAUGCUGACCGGAUCAUGAACAUAUGUUUGGCUGGAGUAGCUUUCUCGGCACACACGCGGAUUUAAUGGAGGCGUGUUCAGUCGGGCGUGCAGCGGGCGACGCCAUCGGCCAGCGUGCCACUUUAAUGCCAAAGCCAGUGAGACGUCGCGCUCGCUCUGGGAUAGCUUCAAUGUGGGAGCAAACGCUCAACGACAACAUGAAUGAGGACAGCUGACGCCGGGCAGGAACGCGUGCCGGUGAGGGUGUGGAUUGGCAUCGGUGGGCUAGGGUUUCCAAAAGUGGGCGUGGGAGCAGUCCAGACGCCUGCAAAGCCCCCAUGCUUGUCUUCGGUUUGUGAGAGAAAGUGCGUCUCAAGACUGAACGGACCGAUACAGUUGCAUGGCAAAACACGUCCCCUCCGCCUGGUCCAGACGUAUGUGGAUUUAAGGGUCGUCGUUGGAGAUGCCCUUACUCAUGAGCGAUUUUGACAUGGUUCUUCUUACCUCCUCUUUGACAUGGUAGGUAAGAAGGUAAGAGUUACUGACCAACUACUUAAUUAAGGGCUCAUAUCUAUUACAUACGUUUUCCCUUCAUACGAAAAGAGGAGGUUAGAGAAAUCAUGUGCACCUACGCCAUGCAUGAUUUAUGGCGUAAGUAUACACGUAGCUGCCGUUGUAUAAGAUGUUCAGGUAGAGCUUGAGUUUGGAUUAACUAAACCCAUUGUAAUAGAUCUUAGCUCAUUAAUUAAUGACUUGAUUAACUCUCACACUACUAGAAAAAGGGCUGUUAGUGGCGCACCUGUUUUUGCUAUUUGUAGUGCGCCACUAUUAACACGCCACUAGUAACAAAUAGUAAUGGCGCACCUCUUGUGCGCCACUAGUAUCCCAGAUAAUAGUGGCGCAUCAUACAGUGCGCCAUUACUAUGUCCACCAGUGCGCCAUUACUAUGCCUCCCAGGGGGCCAUAUUUACCUUGUGCUCUGAGUUACUAAUGGCGCACUUUCAGAUAAUGCGCCACUGAUGUGUUUAUUUCAGUGCGCCACUAAAGUGCAAUAUGGUGCGCCACUACAAUGAAUAUUAGGAAUUAUCUUUUUUUUUUCUUAUCUGAUAUUUGCACAGGUUACAAAAUACAUUACUGCACAGAAUAUAAACAGCACAACAUAUAAACAACAGAUUUAUUGAGUACAAUAGAAGAUUAGUCUCCGAAUACAAUUCAUCAUAUUAGCCUCCGAAUUCAAAAUACCGAACAAAGUUAUAACAUUACAAGCCUCGAGACCGCGAGUAGCGAGUUUGUCUUCACAUUACAAGUCGAUAUCGAUCAUCUAAACUACCCAUCACAUAGAAGAGAGCUGCGGUCAUCGCGAUGAAACUGGUCUUCACCCGGUUCCUCCAACGCUCCCUCCUCUCUCCGGCUAGUUAGCGCGCGUAUCUAGCUUCCGCCUCCGCCCUUGUGGUGUACCCUUUGUAACUGUUACCGCUGAAACGGUGAACCUGUCUCUGACACUCCUUCCAGUCAUCGUAGACUCCGGGAACCUUACCCUUGUACACAACAUACGACGGCAUAUCUAUGCACUAGACAAACAAAACGUUAGUAGCAAUUCACAGACAAUACAUAAGCAAUAUAUAAGUAUGCAACAAAAGGAUCGGAAGAGAAAAGCAACACAUUAAUAGCACGAUUCAUGGUCCUACUAAUAAAUAGCAUCGAUUACAUAUAAGUUGAACGACUGUCCAAACUAAAGAGACAUACAAGUUCAUUAAAGUUUAAUUACAACAUGAGCUAAUCGAUAUUUCAGAACUACAUAGCAUCACUGCUUUCGACUCGACUCAGGGACCGGAGCGUGGAUGAAGCCGCCGUCUAUCGUGAUGGUAAUGAAAUCACGGUCGUUGUCAGCCUGCAUUUGUAGCGUUGUUUUUAUCUCACUGUUGGACAGUUGAUAUCUAAGGUGGAACUGCCCCGAGGUACGAAGGACAUCUUGAUGGAUGAUUUCCGCAAACAACGAGUGGAUGCGAAAGAAUUCUUGUCUGAUGUCCGCGUCCUGAAUUACCGACAAGCGUGCGGCCCAAUCUUUGAGAUUAGUUGGUAGCAGAAGGUGAUUAUGGUCCCGUACAAUCGCCCGCAUGUGAUGGAGGGCGUAGUAGGCAUCCUUCUGACCGCCAGGCAGCUGCUUGACGCAGGGAAACAUCGUAUUGUGGGUGAACACGUGCUUGCCUUACCUACAAAUUGGCCUCCUGAAGGUGCCUCCAGAUCUGGCGUAGCCGGGGAGAGCUUCAUCAAGAACUUUCUUAAUAUUUGUGUAGUCUUUCUUUGACUGACGGUCCGAGUCAAAAUACGUGGCCAUGGAAUAUUUCGGGCUUAAGAGGAUGAGUGUGCAAUGUGUGUCACUGCACAAAACACGGAAUGUUAGAAAAAAAAAGAACGAUCGAAAUCUAAGAAAUCAUAUGUUACGGGUAUCUGGGUUCGCCAGAAUGACGCCUUCGAGGUAUGAACUCGCGACUUGCCGGUCCCCAGCGCUGCCCAAGAUCUUGGUACGCAUGUAGAAGGAGUCGACUAUCAUGAUGCCCGGGGUCUUGUCUCUAAUGAUCCGCAUCUCCAUACUGAGCCAAAAUAGCCGAAUGAAGGUGUAGUGCAGCGGAUGAAGGUUAAACAUAGCGAAGAUGUCAUCAAACCGCAGGACGAUCAUACCCCCGAUGGUGCUAUCGACAAAGCCCUUGCCCUCUGGCACCUUGGCCACGAAAACCGGGUAUGCCACAUCAUUCUCGGAGAGACGCCGCUUCUCCAAAGAAAGAACACUGUCAUGCAGACUCCGCAUAGCACCGAUUGCAGCAUUGAGAAGAUUAGUCGGUAGCAUCGGCCUACCCGCCACAUGCACCCUCCUCGAGAUAUCCUUAGGUGAAGGUGGCCCGUCCUGAGCACGGAUCGUACUCGGUGCCGGCUGGCUCGCACCCUUGUUAUUCUUUCUUUUCCAUCCUUCUUCUUCUGCUGUAAUGGGAUCGAGUUCUGCUCAGAGACCGCCUUCUUGAGUGUGUUGGGGUUGAUAAUAUUUCGCACCUCGGCUAUCUGAGGCUCGGUGAAGGCGGCAGCUGGAGGCGUCUCCUAAGAACUGAACACCAGACGAUGCCUGUUGCAAUUGGGUUUCUCCGCGGUACCAGCUUGAUCGCGGUGGUCUUUUGCAGGGUUGGGUUCUUGAGAAGGAGGCCCCAAGAAUUCGUCACCGUACCCAUGUUCGUUGAAGUACUUAUCGACGUUGGUAAAUGUACCGUCGUCGUCUGGAUCCUGUGCCAUAUGCAUGUCCGGAUCCUGUGCCAUAUGCAUGUUCAGCAUGUCCGGCAGCGUUGCGGGGGUCUUGCCAUGGCUUGGCGCCAGCACGACUGGCGGUGUUGUCUGUGGGGUGGUGUCCCCCGCCCCCAAACGAAUCUGGCAAUUCGGCCAAAGCAGGGGCCAGCUUAAGCAGGCGCUGAGGGUCAUCACAUCAUCUUCGUCGGCCCCAGGGGAUCGAAAUGGAGGUAACAAGUCGUCGCAGCCCGGCAGCACCCAAACCAAUUGAACCCUAUACACGGUGGGUGGCAUCAGAUUACCAUGGAACACGGGGUUGCCCGAUUGAACGAUUCUGGCCUUGGCGACAUCGAUCAACUCGCCACCCACGAAGUGCAGGAGAGUGCAUGGAACAUCGGCGGCGCCCUGCGAAAACAUGUAGGGCGUCAGGGAUGCCCAGUCAAAGGCAAGGAGAUGAAGUCAUCGGCCAAGAGGCUUAGUUACCAUGAUGGCGUCUUGCUCGGCUAAUGUCGAGGCACCGCCAACGGCGGGCGUGCAAGUGACAGAGGGCCGCUUGCUGCCGAGGUGCCGGCCGGCGUAUUCUUCCCACAGCCGAGUGCAUUAAGCUCCAAUGCCCGUGCCGGCGCCAGAGACACCAAUACUGCCUCCGCCGGAGACACCAAUGGCGCCGCCGGCGCGUUGUGCGAGUUGCUGCCCGUGAAGCUAGGAAUCGGGGGCGGCCCCUGUUGGCCGCCCGCAAUCCACGCCUGCAGCCCCUCAAUCAAGGUAGGCACAAUGGCGGUGAUCGUCGCUCCCAGUUGGUCUCGCACUUGCUCUUGGACUAUCUCCGGAAUCUGCGCCACUUGUGCCUUGAGUUCUUGAACCUCGCACUCCUGGCUUUCCGAGUUGGUCUUUCUCUCCUUUCGCCCAGCGUUAUAGUAUUCUGACCAUUUCGUGGACAAGCCUUUGCCGGCCACACGACCAGCUGAUGACAGCUUACUGAACUAAUCCUUGUGUUUCAUUAAGUUCAACGCCCUAUUUAAAGUGGUGUCCCAAGGGGAGCUCUGAGACGACCCCGCGCUACAGCUUUUAGUGUCUUGCGGAAGGAACGUCAACCAUUUAGAAAUUUGGCUUCAUUAAUUAGAAUGCAACCAUAUGGAGCUAAUUACGCGGGGGUGUAUUCCUUUCCAGAACAAGCUCAAGCACCUUGGUCUUCGGAUCCGUGGUAAGCUCCUUUAUUACCGGGUCCACCUUGUACCGGGCCCUGACAUAGUUCCUAGUCUACUUGUCACGGUAUUUAUCGAAGAGGGGCGGUAGGCCUUGCUCGGCACGCUCUGCGUCCUCCUUGUCCCAUAUAGGUUCCGCCACUUUGUAAUCGCCGGGACCGAUAUUUUGGACCCCUAAGUUCAAGUCCCGCAUAUCUUUCCCCCACUGACUUGAUUCCACGGCUGCGUUGCUCUCGCACUUGAUCUUGAACUCCCGGUAGUCAGCUUCGCUGAUCGAAGGAUUUGUAUCCUUGAUCUUCUCAUAACUAUCACCUCUUAGAAUCCUUCUCCUCACCGCGGCUCUCCAAGUAGCCAGGGCCAUGCUCAUCUUCGUGAGGGCGGAACUGUUCACUUUAUUCCCCGAGAGGCGUGUGUUUGCGAAGUCACCGGGGAACUUGUAUCGUUCGUGCAGCUUCGUGAAGAGGAGGUUGCGCAAAUUCCCUUGGUCACGAUGCCUUAGGUUCUCGGUGUUGAUCGAUACGGUGCUCCGGAGAAUGCACCCGAGUUGUCCCGAGUACCCACUUACUAAUUCUUUAGGCACCGUUGGAUGCCCACUGGAGGACACUUCAGUAAAUUCCUGCUUGAUGGUGCCGAGCACGUUUGGGCGCCGGUCCUUCUGUUGCCUCUUCGGUUGGCAGCCAUCUGUGCGUGCACUGCCAUCAUCAGUGGUGGCAUCCUCGGCGGCACCAUCAGUGGUGUCAUCCCCGACGCCACUAGGGGUUGUGUAGUCAGGAUCGGUGUCUUCCGCGGCGUCCUCAUAGCGGUGAGGUUCUUCCUGCAUCUCCUGGGACAGCUCCCAGAAUGCCUUACCCGAACCACCGGCCUCAUCGUUGUGGGCCAUGUUCGCUCUAAAUAGGAAAAAAGUUUGGUCAAAAAGUUGGUUAUUGUAAAGGAACAAGAUCUCUAAGUUGACCAAAUAACCUAAUUCUCGAGGAAUGUCACCAAAAAGUUGGUUAUUGUCAAGGAACAAUUGAGAGAUGUUUGUGAUAUUGUCUAGGUGUUUUGGGAUGGAACCUGUUAGUGUGUUGUUGCUAAGGUCCAAGUCCACGUACUCAAGGUCUAAGAUAAUUUAAUCAGGGCAAUUGCAGUGGAUUUGUGCACAAGCUAAGCUAGCUAAGACAGUAGCUUCCUUGCAACCCACAAAAGACAAAGGAAAAGGGGUGAAAAGGGGGAGAUGGUUAGCUUUGAUGAGCAGGCAUCAUCUUCCUAACCCCCUUCUUCUUGUCUCCUCUCACUAUCUCUCUCACACACAUGGCAAGCAAGGGUGUCUGAGUGUGUGAAAUAAUACUAAACUAAUCCAACCACUAAAGCACUAGAUCACUACUAUUGUAUAAUCUUUUUAUAGCUUUGUAUAUAUGUAUGGCUCCAAUGGGUGCCACUGCCAUGCAUCCCUCUCCUAUCAUUUAAUCAUGAUUAGCCCAUCAUUUUGUCUAGAGAUUAGUUUUGGUUAAUUAAUUAACUAGUGUGUGCCACAGCAGAGCACAGAUCUCCAUCUAGCUAGUAGGAGUAGCUUUCCAAGGCCUCUUUCCAAGGCUUGUUUCGGUUGAGAAUCGGGCACCUUCUAGGUCAAGAAAAUUGGGCAUGACAUUUGCUAAUUUUCUUGACCUAGGAGUGCCCCAUUCUCAACCGAAACGGAAAUUAAUCAACAUUUCAGGAGAAAGGGGCCAUUUCAAAAGAUCACAAGUAGCAGAAGCAUCACUUGACAAAAUCACAAGUAGCAGCAGCAUCACAAGUAGUACAGCAGCAACAUCAUCACAAGUAGUACAGCAGCAGCAGUGAAUACAAUGCGUACAGCAGCAGCAUCAUCAUCACAAGUAUUGUGAUGCCCCUUCAAACAAGAGUUUCUUGCUCUCUCUUUUUUUUUUGACAUGAACAAACAAGGGUUGCCAAUUGAAACUAACUUGUGAUGAUGUUGUUCCUUUAAAGUGCAGUUCAGUAUAUGUAACAAAAAUCAGGUGACAAAACUUGCACACCCCUCUCCGCUUAACGAGGCAAGGAAACAGUGCCAGGAUAGCAACCAAACACUGUCCAGGCACAGUUUAGGGAGGCUCCAAGCCAGACACGAUUCAGUGUGGACACUAUCCAAACACACCCUACAUGACUGUGGAUACUUGUAAAAACUUGGUUUAGCUCCUUUCACACAUAUAUAAGCAGUUGGGAAAAAGACACAAUUUCCUGUAAGAACUUGAAAAAGAAACUAUGCCAUAUGUACUUCAAGACUUCAAGUAUAUAGCCAUAAAAAAUAGUUCAUGCAUGUAUGAGCCGUGGAUCGUGCUGUUUCCGAAAAGAGUAAACCCACGGGGGGCAACUUACCUGUGAUUUCAGGCUAAUUGUAUUAAAAUUUGAAGCAACUACUAUCAGACAUGUAAAAAAAGGUGCUAUAUCUCUCUUGUGCUAUCUCUCUCUUGCAAAAAAGUGCAGUUCCUUUAAAGUUUCAAAUAUGCACUUGCAUUGCAUUUAAACAUGCCCAUUGGGUGUGGGUGAACCAUUCAGAACAAUCAGCCAUGGCAAUGUCACAUUUCAGCACCAAAGUGGCUUGCACUUCUUUUUAGUUGAACUUUUUUUAAUAGACAAACAACUAAAUGCUCAGAACUACUACUACUACCACUAGAUCAUUUUCCUCUAGAACAGAACCAAACAUUUUUUUAUAUAAAAAUACGUAGUUCACAGAUUUUGGCACAAGAAGUCCAGUUCAUGUCGUACCAACAAUGCUUAAAAUAGUUGGCCAAACAAAAAAAUUAACAGUAAGGUGCAUUGACUUUUUCUUUAAAAGGUUAAGGUUAUACUUGAAGAACUAAGCUCCAGGUCCACUACAAACAAGUUUCAGUUCCAAGUUUGGCACUUGCUGUCCGACACAAGCCACAGCCCCCUUGAACAUUCAGCAAGUGCACGAAACAAACGCAUGUUACAAGACCAAAAACAUAUUGGCGCAUCAAUUGGAAGCCAUCCAUCAUAUACCAUCAGAAAAAGGCUAGAGAGAAUUGGGGAAACAAAGGUGAACCUCUCUCUUCUUGCACUCCUUGUAGUUGUCGAACUGUUGCUAGCACUUGCUCUUGUCCUGGUUGGUCUCCAGACCUGGAGACACGGCACAUCAUUAGAGAUUUCAUCAAAUACACACGAAAUUGUCCAGAAAUUAUGGCCAGAAAAUGAACUGGGGGUGAUUGGAUUAGAAAUUUAGGAUUAGGGGCGGAGGAUGCGCGUACACUUGAGGGAGGCGGUGUAUUGGGGGAAGCAGGAGGAGUCGGCGAUCUGGGCCGCGCUGGGUUAGGUCCGGAGUUGAGGUGGAGCGGAGACCGGAGCUGAGGUGGCCGGUGUUGAGGAAGAGGGGGGCGACGGGGAGCGGGCCGGCUGGUGGUGGAAGCCCCAGCCUAGGCACGGGAUCAGCUCCGAGGGAGGAGAGCGCGAGGUCGGCGGGGACGGGGGAUCUCCAGCUCGAACGGAUCCUCCAAGACAGCGUAGCGGAGCUUGGCGCAGCUCCUAGGCACAACGACGGAGCACGGGGCAGUCGGUGGCCGCGGUGACGCGUGGCGGCCGCGCUUGGGGAGGCGGGAGCCGCGAAGGGUUCGGUCGGCUGGGCGCGCCGCGGCGGAGGGCCGGUAGCGGCGGCUUGAACCCUAGGUCUCGCGCUCGGGAAGGGAUCCGGUGGUGGGCUCGGGGAGGAGGCGGCGNNNNNNNNNNNNNNNNNNNNNNNNNNNNNNNNNNNNNNNNNNNNNNNNNNNNNNNNNNNNNNNNNNNNNNNNNNNNNNNNNNNNNNNNNNNNNNNNNNNNNNNNNNNNNNNNNNNNNNNNNNNNNNNNNNNNNNNNNNNNNNNNNNNNNNNNNNNNNNNNNNNNNNNNNNNNNNNNNNNNNNNNNNNNNNNNNNNNNNNNNNNNNNNNNNNNNNNNNNNNNNNNNNNNNNNNNNNNNAAGGGGAUCGGCGGCGGUGGCGUGAGGGGAGAAGGACGAACGGGUAGGCGAGGGGCGAGAUGGGAGAGGCGAGGGACGAGGGGUGGAUAUUUUAGUGGGGGAAGGUUAGCAAUGGCGCACCUCCUAGGGGUGCGCCAUAAAUACCGUGAUAGCAAUGGCGCAUCCUCCCCUGGUGCGCUAUUACUAACUUUUUUUUGGAUAUUUAGUUGCAUCUAAUAAUUUUUUAGAAAAUAACGAUCAAAUUUGAAAACAUUUAUGAAUGUGAAAAAUAUCAUCAAAUUUGAAAACAUUUAUGAAAAAACAUGAAUAUGAAAACAUUUAUGAAUAUGAAAAAAUAUCAUCAAAUUUGUUAUUUGAAAAUAUAUUUUUUGGAUUUUUAGUUGCAUUCAUUUGUGAAUUAGUAAAACAUUUAUGAAUAUGAAAAAAUAUCAUCAAAUUUGAAAAAAUAUUCAUGAAUUCAAAAAUGCCCAUGAAAUUUAACAAUAUUCAUGAGUUCAAAAAAUAUUAACAAAUUCAAUACUUUUUGUGAGUUAGAAAUUCAAUACGAGAAUAAACAUAAAUAAAAAUUGGUAUACCGGAAUAAACAUAAAUAAAUAUUCAUGAGGACUAGAACAGAAGAAAUGUCAUUUCCAUAUGUCGAAAUACAAUCGAGAAAUGAAGAAUACAAUUUAAAUACAAUCGAUCUUAGCUAGCUAUCUUUUCACAAUCUUCUUGUCCUUUUUCGCAAAUGGAGUUCUUCUCUUGAACAGACGUCCUUUAGGUAGGAUGGUCCUGCUGCUUCUUGUGGUGUAUGGUACUUCAUCGUCGUCAUCAUGUUCCAUCUUCGGGUCGCCGUACUUGUCGAAGUCUUGCUCAUUGGCGACUCUAUCCAUUCCGAUGAUCUUCAUUUUGCCUCUCCUCACGACAACACGACUGGGCUUUGACAGGUCCGUAAUGAAGAAGUAUUGGUCCACUUGGGAAGCCAGUACCCAUGGCUCAUUUUUCGCAGUGAUAUUUGCGUCCGCGGUCUUGGAUUUGGCUUCGGGUAUAACCAUGGUGGUGAAAUACGGGUGUUCUUUUAGGACGCUCUUGGCCCAUCUGACACGGAACAUCGGGACCUUCUCUCCAGCGUAGCUCAGCUCAUAGAUCUCCUCGAUCCUUCUGUAGUAUAUGUCCUUGUCGUUACCGGUGUAGCAUUCCAUCGUUAUCCUAGAGUUCUGAUAAUCAUCGCUCUUCAUGUCCUUUUCCUCGGUGUAGAAUGUGUAGUCGUUGAUAUCAUACGUGUCAUAGGUCAUCAGGUUGUGCUCGGCGCCCUAUGAUAAUGCGAAUAUGAGUUUUCCUUCCGCGGAAGAAUCCUCAUGUAAAGGGUACGACAGAAGCUUCUCCUUGAACGAACGCGUGAAACAUGAGUUGUGCUCUUUGAUUAUAUUUCCGUCCGUCCUCUGUUGGCCUCGGUCAUUGUACGGCUUCUCAAUAAAGGUUUUGUGCUCUACCACCCAAGGAUAGACCACGUCUAUGUGCUGUAGCACGACUAGGUUUGCUCUUUCAAAGUCAGCGAGUCGACCCUUGAAGUCGACAUGCAUUUCGCGGCGACCCUCGUGGUGACCCCAUCCAGCGAGCCUGCUGAGGUGCCUGUUGACGGGCAGACCAACCGGAUUCUCGAUGCCUAGAUAAUUCGUGUAGUAGGAGAUGCACUCUUCGGUCAGAAAGCCCUUGGCUAUGCUUCCCUCUGGACGUGACAUGUUGCGAACGUAUCCUUUGAUGACACCAUUCAUCCUUUCGAACGGCAUCAUGCUGUGCAGGAACGUCGGCCCGAGUUGGAUGAUAUCCUCCACGAUAUGGACCAGCAGAUGCACCAUAACGUCAAAGAAUGCGGGCGGGAAGUACAUCUCAAGCUCGCAUAGUAUCACCACGAUCUCUUCCUAUAGCCUUCUGAGCUGCCUCACGCACACCGACUUCCGAGAGAUGACGUUGAAAAAGUUGCAUAUGCCAAAUAGCAUUUCACGGAUGUGCGCGUCCAUGAUCCCAUGGAUUGCAAUUGGAAGUAUCUGCAUCAUCAGCACGUGACAGUCGUGAGACUUCAUCCCGCUGAACUUCUGCUUCGCUGAGUCUAGGUAUCGGCUUAUCUUCUCCGGUAACCGUAAGGAAGUUUUACUCCUACGAGGCAGGUGAAAAACUAUUCGUUCUCCUCCUAACUUAGAGUGAAGCACGUGGAAGGGCAGUCAUUUCCAAUCUUCUUGGCCUUUUUGCCUUUGCGACGACUUUCUGUGUCCUUCGCCUCAUCAUCAUCAUCAGCAGCAUCAUUAUUAGCGUGAAGCUCCUCCCUGAUGCCCAUUGAUUUCAAGUCUGCCCUUGCUUUCGGCCCAUGUUUGGUCCUCUCUGGCAUGUUGAGCAGGGUACCAAGCAGACUCUCGCACACGUUCUUCGUGAUAUGCAUGACAUCAAGGCUGUGAGGCACACGGAGGAUCUUCCAGUAUGGCAAGUCCCACGUAUUGGCUGGCGUUUUCCAUAGCUUGUCUAGCUCCUCUUUCAGCAGCCCUAAAUACAGAUUGAUGUCGUUCCCUGGAUGUUUCGGCCCUUCAAUUAGCAUACUCAUGUGAAUGUACUUCCUCUUCAUGCACAACCAGGGGGGAAGGUUGAACAUCCACACAAACACAGGCCAGGUGCUAUGUGUGCUUCUCUGGCUGCCAAACGGAUUGACUCCAUCGGUGCUCACGCCCAGCAUGAUGUUCCUUGGAUCGUCCCCAAAUUCUAGGUGUUCGAAGUUCAACGCUUGCCACUGGCUCGCAUCCUUAGGGUGACUCAGCAUCUUGUCUUUUUUAUUUAUCUCCGGAUCAUUUCCGUCAUCUUCUCGCUUUUUCUCCUCCCUAUACGCGUGCCAACGCAGGAGCUUUGCUACCUUAGGGUCCAUGAAAUACCGCUGCAGACGAGGAGUGAUCGGAAAGUACCACACCACUUUUCGAGGAGCUUUAUUCCUCUUCUUGUAUCGAGUGAUGCCGCACGCCGGACAUAUGGUAGACUCCGCGUGCUCGUCCCGAUAAAUGAUGCAAUUGUUCAUGCACACAUGAUAUUUCACGUGCGGUGAAUUCAGAGGACACACGAUUUUCUUCGCCUCCACGAAACUGGUCGGGCACUUGUUCCCCUUGGGAAGACGUUCGUGCCAGAAUGACAUGUUCUCGUCGAAGCAUGCGUCGUUCAUUUUGUGUUUUACCUUCAUCUACAGAGCCAUGAGCGUUACUUUCAGGCGGGUAUCCUCGGGCCUGCAUCCUUCAUACAAUGGAGUAACCGCGUCUAUCUCCAGUUGAUCCAGCUUGGCUUUCUCUCGCGCGGCAGCUCUUGCGUUAUCCGUCUGCUUGAGAAGCAGCUCUUGAAUAUGAGGGUCCUGCACCCAGCCCAUCGAUGGUCCAUCGUCGUCUGCUCCGUCGGUAUCUUCAUCUUCAUGAUCAUGCCCUUCGUCUGCUCCGGCAUCUUCCUCAUCAUCAUGUCCUGCAUCUUCUACAUGAUGACUGUGUACAACAUCACCGUCGUGAUCAUGUCCUGGAGAUUCUUCGUCUUCUCGCCCGCCCGAGCAGCGGUGGUUGUCUUGCUGCCCUUCCUCAUUUCUUGCCCGGCCCCCAUGGACGACUUCAUAAUCAUCUUCAUGACCUUGCCACCGAUAGCCAUCCAUGAAACCACGCAAGAGUAGGUGGCCCCGCACCUGUACGGAAUCCGGUUCCAUAAGGCUCUUCAGCUUGCAUCUUCAACACAGACAUCUUAUCUCCGUCUCAUUCUUUUGAAUCAUCUCGGGCUUCGCGGAGAUCAAAAACCUAUUCAUGAUGCCUUCGGUCAUCGUGCGGACCAUGGUCGCCUGCGGGGUAGAGCAAAGCAAUAUUUUAGAACCAAAAAAAAUUGGCAUGACUUUGCCUGAAAAUAGGACCAAAAAGAAUGCGUAGUGCCAAAUUCUUGCCGAAACGGAAAUGAAUCAACAUUCCGGCAAAAUAUUGGCAACUCGCAUUUCAAAUACCGGAACCUGCAAACACAAACAUAUGCAACACCACAAACAUAUGCAACACCACAAACAUACGUAGAUCUAGGCCAUAAAAAGUGCAUGUGCACGUUGUUGGAGGGAGAAAAAAGUAGAUCUACAACAUAAGCUUUCCCCUUACUUACCUAUAAAAAAAGGGAAUUUAAUCACUUAAUUUGGGUGAAUCUAUGGUGCAAAUGAGGUGAGGAGGAGGAGGCAGCCGAGACAAGCUUGAAAGAGGAGGUGGAGAGAAUGAAGUAGGGAAAGUGAGUGUGGUAGGUGGCUGUCCAAAAUAUCUAGCUGUUCUCAGGUUACCAAUGACGCACCACCUAAUAAUGCGCCAUUAGUAACCAGUUACUAAUGGCGCACCUGUUAUAUGGUGCGCCAUUACUAGUUUUGAAAAAAAAGUUGUUCGUAGUGGCGCACCGUGGUUGUGGUGCGUCAUUACUAGUUUGAACUAGUAAUGGUGCAAUAUCUCCUGGUGCGCCAUUACUAGUUUUGAAAAAAGAAAGUAAAAAAAUUGUUAGUAGUGGCGCACAGAGUGAGUGGUGCGCCAUUACUAGUUAAAACUAGUAAUGGCGCACUAUCCCCUGAUGCGCCAUUACUAGUUUUAAAAAAAAAUUGUUAGUAGUGGCGCCAUUAGUGAUAUGAACACUAAUGACGUACCUAUACAUGGUGCGCCACUGCUAUAUAGCAGUCGCGCACCACAUUUGUGGUGCGCCAUUAAUGUUCAUAUUAGUUAUAGCCCUUUUUCUAGUAGUGCUACCUUCUUAUCUCACAUGUAAAAAGAGAAGGUAAGAGGGAGCAUGUUAAAAUUUGCCAUGUAUAUGCAAUGCGUUCUUAUUGACGGAUGGAUGCGGUUGUGUCAGUGGUCGUGGUCGUCACCGCGUUGGUCUUCAUAUCUCCUCCUCCUUAUACUACUACGUAAUACAUUAGAAUUAGCGUUAGGUAAACUUUAGGUAGGAGACUGAUAAUAGACAAGGAUGAUGGCCUUGUCACGUUUGUUAUGUUAAUAUACAGUCAGGCUCAUUCAUACAAGGCUUGCCCCAGCACUGAGUUACAAGAAAUCAGCUUAAGAUAUCUUGCAAUCACACCAUAAUCAUACACAUAUGUGAUUUUUAUGCAAAUCCUUUCUUUGACCUACUACGACCAGCAACUACCGGCCUGCACAAUUUUCUAUCAUUCCAAAACAAAACGAGCUAUUGUACAACAUGGAGAUAAGACAAUUACAAGGGGAAGAGAUCUAAGAAGACAAAGUACAUAACCAAGAAAUAAGAAUUAUUGCUUAUAGAAAACAAUUUUUUUUGAAAAGGAGGAAGACCCCCGGCCAAGCCUAACAUCCAAGACCUGAGGCCCCGACCAAGCCACUUGCCGGCUAUGGGGCACACACCGGUCCGGCGCACACACAGAGGCCGCCGCAGCCAACUGCCACCAAUCCAUCUUCAGAGCUGUACUGACGCAUCAACCUUGCCUGGUCUAGCUGCUGUCGACGCCACCACGACGCCAGACAACGCCACCAUCAUGGACUCGUCCAUCAACACAAGCCUAGCAGCGAGACCCCGCUGCUCCAUGCCACUGAGACCCGCCAUUGUCGACAUGUCAGAUGCAACGCUGCUCCUCCUUUACGAACACCACAUGCAGCCACUGGUGCCAUCCCUCCACUCCCAACCGAGCCCCAAUGCCCCUGACGACGCCACCAAGAAGGUCACGACGCGAACAGCGCCGCUACCGCCAAAUUCAAAGAGGAUUGGAGGUUUUCACUCGGCAUGAGAUCGGGGUGGGUAGAUUGGGCCCUCAGCUGCGCCUUCAUGAAGGAAAGCGAAACCCAUGGGUGCCGCCGCCGCCGGGCUGGCCUGACCGGCCAAGGUUUCCCCCGGACACAAGGUACACCACCAGGGCUCACCAUCACUGAAGCCUGUAGCCGCAAACCACCGGGACGCCGAGAGAGGCAACAGGGGAAAAGGGAACCUCCAGAUCUGACGCCACGACACCAACCCACCGGAGGAUCACGGGCCACCCGAUCCAAUCCCCAGCAGCCCACCUGCCCCGCUGCGCCCGGACACGGAGGCCAACCCAAGGGCUGCCACCCCAGAUCCAGGGCCCUCCGCUCGAAAUCAGGCAGAGCAGAGCCAGCCUGCCGCCACGACCAUCACUGGGUCACCGGCCGGCCGCCACGCUGUUGUGCUCCAGAUGGAGGUCGCCGUGGGCCAAAUCGGUGCCGCCGCCAUCGAUAGGGGACUCGUCCUCAAGAUUGGGGAUCCCGCGCAUCCCGAUCCCCAAGUGAGAGGGCGAUGCCUCCGCGUCGCCAUCACAUGCACGGGCUUAGCCCGGCGCCAACCACCGGCGGCGGCGGAGGGGAGAGCGAGAAGGAGGAGGGGCACCGGCGGCGGAGGGUUGGGUCCCCUUGGUCACCCGCGCGGUGGGCGAUGGAGGGGAAGGGGGAGGGGGAGGGGGAGAGCUUACAGAAAACAACUACAUGUCACUAAGGAACAGAACGAGAGAUCAGAUAGAAAAGUAGAGAAAUGAGUAAACGGCUUGUUGCGUAUGCUUGCCCAUAGCAGAAGGUCAUCUCCACAACUAGGAAUAAGAACAGGGUAGUCCUCUUUUUUUUGUUAAAUCUUCGGGUUAUGGUGCUUCCAAAUAUUCCAAAGAAAGCAGAUGCACAACAAAGAGGGGACCUAUUUGGUAGAAAAUCGAGGCCGAGGACAAGCAAUCACAAGCAUAAAAUCAAUAUUUGUUGACAAGGUUUUGCAAACUAGUCUACUCACCAAGCAGGGUUACGAGAGCUCCUCCCCAGGUACUAAAUUGAGAUGACAAAUUCCACUAAGGCAAUCGAACAACAUGUCUAGCCAAUCACCACUACCGGUCAGGCCAUCCCUGCCAUGUCCCCCGCGCCUUCCCUCGUGUGAUUCAUGUCUAGACUACCAGUUUCGUCUAGUCUAUUUUGGCAACCCGUGGUGCCUUUAUAUGUUAGACCUUGGUUACGCGUAUUUGAUUCAAACACCUUACAUUCCGCAAAGUACAAGUCUAAUAAUAGUACAACUCUAACACAUAUUCGACAAAAUUCAAACAAACUUAUGACUCGUGAAUAUGUCUUCGUCAUCUUCAAGCUCCCAAGCAUGGACCACAAUGUACUAAAUUUGGACUUGAACCAUCAGGCAUGAUAGAGCAUGAUGAACAAAACAUACAUGAUAAUCGGACCAUUAUAAGUACUAAACAAUCUAGACAUGCAAUCUGAUAGAUAAGAAAGCAUAGGAUGUCCAUGUUGAUUUGUACUACGAAUACACCAAUGGAAAAGCCUAAUUAAAAGAAGCGAUAAGAGUACUUACGAGAUGGGUGUAGCAUAAGCAACGUUAGAUGCAGCGGCGGUGUCCUUAGUAUUGUGGUUGGACGGAGCCAACUAGUAGUCCAUGAACUAGUUGAUGGAGCAUGAACAUUCGAGUAAUCAUGGGAGUAGUAGCAGUAUUGUGGUCCCCAAAAACCUAAUCACCUCUCUCUUUUACAUGAUUGCAAGAGACGGGGUUCCGGAGGCCUGCUCCCUCCCCCUUCACGGUGCACGUCGAGAAGCAGGAUAGAGAAACUUAGAAGCGGCACAGUUCACAUAGACUUCAGUCAAAUAUUAAAAUUCCUUAUUCAGAUGAAACAUCAAAGUUAAGAGCCAACAUCAAAACAAAAGGAGCUCCACAUGUUGGUUCUUUGUCCAAUGAACUAAUUUUUCAUCCAGCACUAAACAAGCUUGUGCCAUGACACCAUCCAUGCAUAGAGUGGAAUACUUCACUUGCUAACUCUUCGGACGGUCUUACCCCCCAGUUCGACACUUCUUUAUUUUCCUGUUUCCUCUGCAAAAUUGGCCAUGAUUUAAUUCAAAACCCCACCAUGUUGAUCUUAGUACAUCGACAAUCAAUUUUCUUAUCAUCAAAACAAGCACCACUUCUAAUUAUUCAAAUGGUCAAGAAAACAUAAGCAAUUCCAACCAUUACUAGAUGUUUGACUUGCCUUGAAAAUCAAGAAAUCCAUGAAGUAAACGUUUAUUCGACUGAAUGUCUGAUUCAGAUACUCUAAAUGUAGAAGGCACACUGCAUAACAUUCCAAACUAGUUUUGCAAGAGAACACUUAAGGAAAAAGAUCAACUAUUUUAUCUAAACCACAAAAUUGACAUCUAUUUUCUUAUUGUUAAUCCCUCUUCAGGAUCAACAAUUAAGGAAAAAGGUGAUAAAAAUUUAUUCCCCCUUCUCGCAGCUUUUUCGGAAGUCCUUUAGGUAAAUCUCUGCAAUUUAACAUGAACGUGAAGUAAAAAUUAUGCUAUGGUGAUCAAAUAAGCAUCAAAUUGGAGUACUUACCUUAUGAAAUCACGUAGUGUUGCCGUGUGUAUCCUAGUUUUGCAGAGGCCGGGUGUGCGCUCAUUGUCAUUGUACCAAUUGAUGUUACAUUAUGAGUCAAUACAAAACGUCCUUUGUCGAGAAAAUGAAAUCAUGAUGCAAAAUGCAUAUAUCAAUAAUUAAUCAUUAUUGUUUCCAUAGCAUCGACACCACAUAUAAUGCAUGCAUGUACUCCCUCCGUUCCUAAAUAUUUGUCUUUCUAGCUAUCUUAAAUGGACAACAUACGGAUGUAUGUAGACAUGUUUUAGAGUGUAGAUUCACUCAUUUUGUUUCGUAUGUAGUCACUUGUUGAAAUCUCUAGAAAGACAAUUAUUUGGGAACAGAGGGGGUAUAUGUUAGUACAAAUUGAUAAUCCAUCUUGUCCCUUGUUAACAGGCACCAACUGGACAAGUGGUCACAGGGCAUGCCAUGACCAGGCCACUAUAGUCGUGAGACAUAUAUUAGUCAGAUGUUAUUCUACACUUUCAAGGAAGAAUAAGAGUCCGACGUUAGCACGCGCAAGCAUGCUAAGUGUGUGUGUAAGUUAAGUAUGUGAAACAUGCAUGAACUUGCGCCGAUUAUACUGUUAGCCGUUUUAGGUUUUGGAUUCAUCGGAGUCUUGCCACCGCUCUACCUUAGCUAGGGCAUCUUCUAGUCACUGAACCGCCGUCACACACGCCACUGUGAUAACAAAUGCAGACCUUGAUACCGAAUGCCAAAUUCCUGCUCGAAAGAAACUGGAUGAACCCACAGUACAUGUAUGUCACUAUUUCCUUUUAUUCAGUCGCCCAACAACAACCUGCACAUGGCUAGACAACAUAACCGGAGAAAAACUUUACUUGGCCGCAAUGUGGACUAGCACGCUUCUGGCCUACAAGCAAAGUACCUACGGAUUCCGUUGAGCCGAGUUUACAAAUUAACAUAUUGCAAUAUAAACUAGAGUACUUGACGCAAACACACCGCUUAACUUCGUCCUGGUCGGACGAUGUCGGAGAUCAGGUGGUCUCACCCCUUUGGAGGCUUACUCUCACUUUUUAUUCUUAGGCGGCAGCUUCCUGUUCUUCUUCUAAGUCAGCAUCGGGUUAUUCCUGGACUGCACCUGGUUCUUCUUGAACGACGGUGGUUUUGUCAACUGGGUACUGAUUGACGGUGCCUUGGUCUUGUUAGGGGCAUCCUUUGCAGGUUCCUUCCCCUUGCCCAUGACGCAAUCUCCUUCUCUUCUUCUUGACCACGUGCCGGCGUAACUCAAGUGUUUGGACCCACGUGUCAUACAUAGUUCAUUUUGUCCAUGUUAUAUUUAGAGUGGAACCAUGUAUCAGUACAAGACAUGUGUCACCGUUUCGACUAAUCCGUGUCGUUGUAGAUUUCUUUCAUUUCAAUCUAAUUCAUGCAUGACUUUUAACAUAUCUUCAAAGAAUACGAGCUGCUGUAUUCCUGUUGCUUUUAUUACUUUAAAAAUAUAAUCAAUAGAAGUUCCUGGUUAGUUCAUUUAGAUUCAGUGGCACACAUACAUGGUUUCGACAGUAAAGCUAGUAGCUUAUACAAUAUUCCGCGGCCGGUGUCCAUCAGAGGUAUAGAUACCACUAACGGGACACAUUACAACACCGCCCAAUGGCCUUCUCUCUUGUAGUGAUGGACUCUUUUGUCAUUCGUUCUGUUGUAACCAUGAGUGGGACAAGAUACUCGAUUUGCCUAUCUUAGGAUUUGUUGAAUGCAAGGUGGUUAAGGGAGGUUCUUAAAGAAAUAAACCAACUUUUUCUUUGUGCAUCAAUUCUUGUUCAUAGAGGGCAGAUGCUUAAUUAGGCAUCCCUUCUAUAGAGAUAACCGAUGGUGCUUAAACAAGAAACUUAAAGGUUUUUCCUUUAGAAUCAGCGGACGUUCAUAUACAUGAAUUUACACUCCCCUAUGAAUUCACACACGCACACUCUAUCCCUUAUGAGCACCUCUGAGAAAUUGAACCAACAGGUUGCGAGAUUGACGAAGUCAUGACCUGUGCAUCGCUGUCGAUGGGUCGUCGCUUACAGCGAAAGAAUAAGUCGUUAAACCCAGAAAUAUAUCGGGAAAACUGCAAACACCCUUCUCAAGUCAAGGACUUGAACCAGGUUGGAUAGCUUCCACCACAAGGAACCUAACAAACUGUGCUACGCUCAAUUCACCGAAGAGAUAAUGGUUGCGGUUUAUUAACCCUAUAUGUAUGUCUUUUUCGGCUCUUUCUUCUUAUUCAACUUCCCAACAAUAACCUCCCACAUGACUCAUAACACAACACAAGGAAAAAAAGGACUUCAUUUGGCCGCAACGUGAACCAGCACGCUUCUGGCCUAUAGACAGACUGGCUACGGAUUCUACAGCAGUGAUCGGAUCGAAUCAAAUUUACAAAUUAACUUACUGUAACGCAAACGGAGCUACUCAACAUAAACACACAUAACUUCAUCCUGGCCAGUGGACGUCGAUCACUGCGCGGCUGUUGUCACCUCUUUCGAGGCUAAUUCUUCUUAGACGGCGUCGUCUGUUUCAUCUGCUUCUUCUGAGGCAGGAGCGACUUCCUCCUAUGGGCUGUCUUCGUCAAUUGCGUAUUGCUUGACGAUGCCUUCACCUUCUUUGGGGGAACCUUUGCAGCUUGCUCGCCCAUGACAAGAUUUGCUUCUUUUCUAAUAAUUCUUCUUCUCCAGUGGUAGCUGAGGUGAGGUGGAUAUAGUGUUUACUUUGCUCUGGUUGGGUUGAGGAAGCCUGCAGCAAUGGCUCCAUAUAUAUAGGAGGGGGAAGGUCUUUGAGAAAGCGCUUCGGCCAGACAACACGCUUCCACCGUGUGUGAGAAUUAUUUGGUGGCAUUAAUGUUUCUUGUGCCAGUCUGUUCUCUUUUGGGGAGUAGAUAUGCAUUAUAUUCAAUGCAUAUUAGUUAAGGAUCGCUGCUCAAUGGUUUGGUCAAUGGUUGGGUAUGCGGUUGGGUCAAAGGUUGUGGUCGCUGCCGCGUUGGUCUUUGUUUCUUCUCCUCCUGCUCCUUAUAUUACUACUACAUCAGAAUAAGUGUUGGUGGUUCAGUUUUGGUAGCACACGCCAGACACACAGAUGGCUUGUUAGUUGUUAGCAAGUACACACGAUGUUGCCGUUGCAUGGGAUGUUUUGCUAGAGCUUGAGUUUACAUUAGCCAAACCAAUUGGUAUCAUGUACGACAAAUCUUGUAUAUAUGUUUUGGUAGAGCUUGAGUUUAGAUUAGCUAAACCAUAAUAACUUUGUAUAUUAGUUAGGGGUCGAGUUGACAAGAGAGUUAUUUACCCAGGUUCAGACCUUGUGAAGGAGAACAUUAAUCAAAUUAUAUUUCAUGAGCUGGCCAGUAGGCAAAGAUCAUGUCAAGGUUAAAAAAUGAAUAGGAAUCGGCCGGCGCACGCACAAGCUGCCUAGCUUCGUCGACCUUCUCUUCUUUAUUUAAUUUACUCCUCCUGCUACCACGGCAUCUCGUUAACCACUAAUAUUGGAGCAAGCUAAGUAUGUUAAUACCGCUACAUAAGAACACCACUCAACCACUCGCUAGAGUCUUCCCGCUGCUCAAUUACUAGCGCACUACCUUGAGCUGUCCCGCUUGUUUCUCCUUGGUGGUAAUGCUAAAGAAUAUUGCAAGAAACUGGAAUGAACACGCAAAAGACAGAGGUAGUUCAGCAACGUGUUAAUUAAUCACGUGUACGUCUUUUCUGACUCAUUUCUUUUAUUUGGUCACCCAAUAACACCAGAAAAACACAAAUAGCCACAACAUGAACUGGCACACUUAAUGUUUUUGCAGGAAAAACUCUCGUAAUUCAAACAAAAAAAUUUCAAAAAAAUAAUUCAAAAAAAAUCCUAAAAUUUCCUUUAGUCCCGGUUGGUGUUACCAACCGGGACUAAAGGGCCAGGGCAUUAGUACCGACCCUUUAGUCCCGGUUCAUGAACCGGGACUAAAGGCCCUCACCAACCGGGACAAUAGGCCCUUUUUCUACUAGUGUCACUUAGUUCCGAGAUACAAGGCCAUUUAUAAAAAAAUCUAAGAAAUACAGUUUACCACUAUUUGAAUUAAUAUUGAAAAUUGCAUUUUUUUUGGAAUGUUGAAAUACUAUGAACAAAAAUCUAAUCAUGCGUGUUUUGUUUUGACAAAUCCUUGCAUACAUUUAAAUUGAUAUUAGAAUCAAAUAAGCUUUCUAUCUAAAAUUGUGAUUUAUUUGCUUCCAAGUCAUCAUAUUCUCGUUUGAGAAUGUAAAUAUUAUUACCUUCUCCUCUAUGCUUUAAUCUCUAUUGUCUCCUCUUAUUCAGUUCAUAGAUCGUAUGUCUCCUUCAUGUAAUCACAUGUACUCACACCAUUAUAUUAUUUAAGUUUGACCGACAAUAUGACUAUAUCUAAUGGUUGUGUAUGUGAGUGAGGUUGCUCGUUCUCAUCCACCUAGGUAAUCUUUUGGAUUGGCAUGGCUGUUCUGUCAUAUUGUUGAAGUAGAUGCAUAUGUGUAUAUUAUUGUGUAAAUGCUCACCGGCACCAAGAGAGAAUGUGAAACUUCCAAUAUUUUUCAUGGGCAACAUAUAAAAGAUAAGCUAAGUUGGCCCUAUAGCGCAGAUAAAUGUCACUAUAUCCCGUUAGAAGCACUAAAUUGUACAUAUGUGUUGUUUAGCAGGAUUCUAGAGGUUAUAGCCGCGGAAAACAUUCAACACACAUCUCUAUCCAAUUGUGAUAAUCAUACAUGCUAGCACAUUAUUAGACAUAUCUGUAGUAUGCUAAGUGUAACAAUAUGGCCUCUUCUACUUUGUUGAAGCAUCGUAUCAUGUUACAAAUAUAACGAAAAAUCUUCAAGAUCCGCUUGUAAAUCCCCAAGUACAUAAAUUCCCAUUCAAUUUAGAAGUCCGACAAGAUGCCAAGGUCGGCUCAUUGGGGGCAUUCCUCAAGUAUGUUACAUGACUUGACUAUAUAAUUUUAUUUCCCAUGCAGAGGUAGAAGAAAACCGUCCUCAAUAUUGUCUCCUCUUAUUCAGUUCAUAGAUCGUAUGUCUCCUUCACGUAAUCAAAUGUACUUACACCAUUAUAUUAUUUAAGUUUGAUCAACAAUAUGACUAUAUCUAAUGGUUGUGUAUGUGAGUGAGGUUGUUCGUUCUCAUCCACCUAGGUAAUCCUUUGGAUUGGCAUGGGUGUUGUGUCAUAAUGUUCGAGGUAGAUGCAUAUGUGUAUAUUAAUUGUGUGAAUGCUCACCGGCACCAAAAGAGAAUGUGAAACUUCCAAAAUAAAUCAUGGGCAACAUAUAAAACAUAAGCUAAAUUGGCCCUAUAGCGCAGAUAAAUGUCACUAUAUCCCGUCAGAAGCACUAAAUUGUACAGAUGUGUUGUUUAGCAGGAUUCUAGAGGUUAUUACCACGGAAAACAUUCAACACACAUCGAUAUCCAAUUGUGAUAAUCAUACAUGUUAGCACAUUAUUAGACAUAUCAGUAGUAUGCUAAGUGUAACAAUAUGGCCUCUUCUACUUUGUUGAAGCAUCGUAUCAUGUUAAAAAUAUAACGAAAAAUCUUCAAGAUCUGCUUGUAAAUCCCCAAGUACAUAAAUUCCCAUUCAAUUUAGAAGUCCUACAAGAUGCCAAGGUCGGCUCAUUGGGGGCAUUCCUCAAGUAUGUUACAUGACUUGACUAUAUAAUUUUAUUUCCCAUGCAGAGGUAGAAGAAAACCGUCCUCAAUACUGGAUCCAUCCAGAGGUGGCGGCAGUUUACAACCUCACAUCGACUGGAGACUAGCAUCGCCCUUGGAAAUGCCCUUGUAUUGCUGCUAACGUAUUUCUCAUUUCCCAAUAAACUGGAUGCAUUCAUGGAACAUGUAUGCCAAUCUUUCCUUUUAUUCAAUCACCCAACAACAACAUGAUGCACGACUCAACAACACAUGUAAGAAGAAACUAUACUUGGCCACCACGUGAACAAGCACACUUAUGAUUUACAUACUGAGGUUACUAAUUUAGAUAACACAACAUAAACUGACGUACAAGACAGAGACACAAUUGACUUCAUCAUUGCCAGACAACAUGGAUGAGAACGCGGCUGCUCUCACCACUUUUGAGGCCACUUCUUAUUUCUUAGGCUGCGGCUGCUUCUUCUUAGCCAUCAUCUCUUUUUCUGAGUCAGCCUCACGUUUAUCCUACGGUUACGCCCCUUCUUAAGAUUCCUUCGUUGUGCCCCCGGCUUAUUGGUUGACGGUUGCGUUGGCCUGUUAGGGGGAACCGUUGUACCUGGAACCUUUGGACCUGACUUGUCCAUGACGCCUCCUCCCCUCCUCCUCCUCCUCCUCCUCCUCCUCCUCCUCCUCCUUCUUCUUCUUCGCUUGUGCAAGGUAGGUGAGGUGAGGUGGAUGUGGUGUUUGUUUUGCACCGGUUGGUUUGUGGAAUCAUGCAGCAACGGCGCGCGCAUAUAUAUAGGAGGAUUAAGGACUUGGCGAAGCGCUCUGGCCGUACAAGGUGGUUUCAUUGAAGGAAAAUGAUUUGGUGGCAUCCCCCGUGCUGCUGUUAGUCAGUCUCUUUUGUGUCGUUUUGGGGAGUAGAUAUGUAUAUUUGAUUCAUUUGUUAUGGGUGGAUAAGUAUGCAGUUGAGUCAGUGGUCUUCGUUGCUGACAGUUGGUCUUCAUUUCUUCUUCUCAUCCUCCUUGUACUAUAGCUACAUCAGAAUAAGUGUUGGUGGUCAAGUUUUACUAGCAUAUACCACACGGCUUGUUACUUGUUAGGCCAUCUUCAACGGCUAUCCGUGGACAAAGAGGAUCAGUCCGCGGACACAAAUUUAGGAGCCGGCUAUCCAACGCUGCACCAUACAUUUGAAACACUUUGUCAACAAAGCAGAUGUACCUCACUCAGACACAUCAGAUUACAUAUAAACCUGGUGAAAACAUUUAUAUUUUUGACAUAUUCUAACUAAAAAACUAAAACUAUGUGCAUGUACCACCACACGGAGGUCCACUACCAUGACACGGAUACAUUACACUAGUCUACGAUCGGCCGCGGAGUGUCCCUUUGUCUUCCCCUUGUCAGGCAGUCUGGUGACUCAUCGGAUUGCUGGGAGCCCCGGAGGUAUAUUCCUCCCCUGUAUCUUCCCUAUGUCUGGCUGCGCCGCUUAUCGGAGUGGCAAAGAGGGUGCUUCAGUCGGAAGGGAAGGGGGAAUCCGCUUCCGUGAAGCGCGGAUCAGGGUUGGUUUUUGGGGCAGGGGAAGAUGGUGGCCUGCGAGACAGGGCGAGACAUUUGGUGUGCAUGCGGCGAUGCUGCGGCGGUGGCCUUCUAAGGACCCAAGUGGCGGCGGGCUCCCAUGUUCUACUUUUCCUCGAUUUUGUCGGCAAACGCGGACAUGCUAGCCGCCGCCUCGUCGAUCUCCACUAUAUAUGAGAUGCCUAGUAUAUAAGUGUCCUACUAGGACACGACUUCAUAUUCUAUCUAAACACAAUACUACUCAGAGUCCAACUGUAACCUAUCUUAUACACAAUAUUCCAUACAACUCUAACAACUCCGGCUGGGUCAAGGAAACCUCAUGCACGGCCGGCUGGAAGACGCGCUUCCACCAUGGAGAAUGGUUUGGUGGCGUUCAGAGUCAGUCUCGUUUGUUUUGUUCUGUUUUCAGGAGUAUGUAUGCACAUUCGAUGCAUUUGUCAUUGACGGAUGGAUGCGGUCGGGUCAAAGGUCGUGGUCGUCGCCGCGUCAGUCUUCACUUCUCCUCCAUCUCCUCUUCCUUAUACACCUACAUUAGAACUUGCGUUAGGUUAAGUUUAGGAAGCAUACAGAAUUUCUUUUAGUUAUAAUCAAAUAGAUUAAGAUAUCUUGCAAUCACACCAUGUCAUAGGCACAUGUGAUUUUCAUGCAAAUUAUUUCUUUGACCUGCUAUCACCAGCAACUGCCAGCCUGAACCAUUUUAUAUCAAUCCAAACCAAAACGAGCUACCUGUACAAGAUGGAGAUAAUUGCAACAAAUUCGGACCGUGUACGUCUAGUGCAUCUGUUGAUAGCAUUUAACCUGCCAUGAUUCUUUGAGGAUGCAUGUUGGCCUAUGCAUCCUUUGAUUGGAUGGACUUCUCUAAAUAUUCACUACACAAGUCAGUCAUUCUCAGAAGUGGACGGUCCAGCGAAUUUGGAAGGGUUAAGAGCAUGGUUAAUAGUAUAGCCAGCUGCUAUGUCAUCUACAGCUCAUUUUAUAGUCAAUAUGUACAAUAUUAGAUCAAAAGAGUGUACUACUUUUUUAUUAUGUGGUCCACCUUUCAUUCUCACAAAGUGCCUAGGAGCACGUGCUAGAGCUGCCUCUUCAUGAAGAGCCCGCUUACCUUCUUUCUCCUCUUCUCUUUACUCCAACUAAGCAGAAAUAUACUAGUUUAUUCCUUAUAGCCCGCUGACUCAGCUCUAUUGUACUUGCUCUAAGGAAAGAAAAUUAUCUAUUGGCUAUGGCUGAGACUAAUUCUGACUGCUGUUGUUGAUGUGUCUGCUAAUUUGGCAUAAUUCCUCGCUUGUCCAAUUGCAGCAUCUCGCUCUAGUAGUAGUCCAAGUCUCUCAGCCUCAAAUACGAUGCAUAUGAUUAUUUUAAUAGAAAAACCUGUUGGCGUGUUGCGUCAAAUGGCACAGACCGGCCAAGCUGGGCCGGCCCAUUAAGAUGUACAGUUGUUCUCCGUCUUGGGGAACCUUUCGGAAGGUUCCAGUCUGGUUUUCACCGUUUUUUGUUUUUCUUUCCUGGUUUUCAUUUUCUUUUUUUCUUAAAUAUUGGUCUUUUUGGUAAAAAAUAUCUGUUAUAAAAUAUCAAAUUGUUCAUGUUUUACAAGUUUAUUGGAAUUUCUAAAAAUGUUUUCACUUCCAAAAAUUCUUCACAAACUAAAAGAUGGUCAUGUUAUUAUAAAAAAUGUUUGUAAUUUUUUAAAAUGUUCCUGUAUUUAAAAAGUGUUCACAAAUUCAAAAAAUAAUCAGGAACUUCAAAAAAUAUGUUUAUUGUUCAUUUUUUAAAGGCACAUCUUCCAAAAAAAUAGAUUCUUCAUAAUAAGGUUUGUGUUUUAAAAAAAACAAAUCCACCAAAAAUAUGUUUACUAUGGGCAUUUGGGGCAUGUUUUGGGGUGUUGUAACGGGGCUUCCACCCUGCUAGUGCAUGUUCUAUGCUGGUUUCAGUCUAACCCGCCAAAAGUGUUUCCUAUUGUACUGCUUGCUUUCUUUCUAAUAAAGAUCGGCCAAGGGCCCUUCGAGAAAAGAUCUUCCCCUUUAAUGGCGGAUUUGGUUUUUUAAUGGGAGGAAGAACAACAUACCAGGCUACCAACUCUCCCAUUAAGAGUAGAGAUUCCCGAGAAGCCGCUGGCGCUAGAUAUAUGACCGCAGCCAGGCGAGAAAGACGCGGGAUUCUAGAUGGGGAUAAGGAACAAUAUUGGUGGAGAUGAAGAAGGGUUGGACGAAACCAAAAUUAACAUAUCCUUGUCAAAACAAGAAACCAAAAUUAACAUAUGAUGAUGAAGGAAAGUACAGGGGAUGUGUGGGUAAGGGAAGGAAAGCAAAUAAUUGAUUGAAUCGGCACCAGGUUUUGUUGGGACACACGUGAUUUCUUGUUAUGAUGUUCGCACUUGGGAGAAGCAGAACAUAGCGAGCUAGAAUGGUCAUGCCAGCUGCUGCUUAGACAGGCAUCUCCGGCGUGCUGGGAAUCAAUGUCCCGACAUGCUCGAAACAGGAGGGCGCUGCACCGUGUUGGAACUGGACAACCACCAUGUUGUAACUGUGGUUGAACACUAGUGGUGGGGACAGAUGCGAGGGACCUGUCCUGUGAGGGCGGCAACACCACGGCGAGCGGUAGCUAGCCGGUAGUGCUUCCAGAAUCGGUCGGCGCAUGUCCAUCGCAAGUAUAGUGGCGCUAGCUAUCGACUCUUUUCGAUCAAAUGGGAAGGAGCGAGCACUGUGUGAGGAAGGAGACGAAGAGAAGAAGAAUCGAAACGUGCCAGUGGGGCCAAUCCGGCUGGCACCAAGCGACCAACCAAAUUUUGGGCAAGUCGACCGGCGCCUAGCGCCGCCCUUGGAAAUGUCAUUGUAUCGAUGCUAACGUAUUUUUCAAUGUACUGGAUGCACUCAUGGAACAUGUAUGUCAAUCCUUCCUUUUAUUCAAUCACCCAACAACAACCUGAUGCACGACUCAACAGCACAUGUAAGAAGAAAGUAUACUUGGCCGCAACGUGAACAAGCACACUUAUGGUUUACAUAUUGAGGUUACGAAUUAACCUGCCACAACAUAAACUAACGUACAAGACAGAAACACAAUUAACUUCAUCAUUGCCCGACAACAUGGAUCAGAAUGAAAAAAAAUAAAAUAUAGUAAAAAGAACAUGGAUCAGAACGCGGCUGCUCUCACCACUUUUGAGGCUAUUUCUUAGUAUUUCUUAGGCUGCGGCUGCUUCUUCUUAGCUAUCCUCUGUUUUUGCGAGUCAGCUUCAGAUCUUUCCUACGAUUACGCGACUUUUUAGGUUUCUUUGGUUGUGCCUUUGGCUUAUUGGGUGGCGGCGGCGUUCGCCUGUUAUGGGGAACCGUUGUACCUGGAACCUUUGUACCUGUCUUCUCCAUGACGCCUCCUCCUCCUACUCCUCCUCUCCCUCCUCCUCCUCCUCUCCUUCUUCUUCUUCUUCUUCUUCUUCUUCUUCUUCUUCAUCUUCUUGUGCGAGGUAGAUGAGGUGAGGUGGAUGUGGUGUUUGUUUUGCACCGGUUGGUUUGUGGUGUUCUGCAGCAACGGCGCGUGCAUAUAUAUAGGAGGGAUAAGGAAUUGGGAAAGCGCUCUGGCCGGACAACGUGGUUUCAUCAAAGGAAAAUGGUUUGGUGGCGUCCCCAGUGCUGCUGUUAGUCAGUCUCUUUUGUGUCGUUUUGGGGAGUAGAUAUGUAUAUUCGAUUCAUUUGUUCUUGGCGGAUAGGUAUGCAGUUGAGACAGUGGUCUUCGUUUCCUCUUCUCAUCCUCCUUAUACUAUAGCUACAUCAGAAUAAGUGUUGGUGGUCAUAUUUUGCUAGCAUAUUCCACACGGCUUGUUACUUGUUAGACCAUCUUCAACGGCGACCGCAGAUUACCUCCAACAUCCAUCCAUGGACAAAGAGGAUCAGUCGUCCGUGGACAGAAAUAUGGGAGCCGGCUAUCCAACACUUCCCGCAUACAUUUCAAACACUUUUUCAACAACCCGGAUGUACCUCAUGCAAACACAUCAGAUUUCAUACAAACCUAGCGAAAACAUUUAUAUUUUUGACAUACUUUAACUGAAAAACGCAUGUACGACCACACAGAGGUCCACUACCAUGACACAGAUACAUUACACUAGUCUACGGCCGGCCGCGGACAAUCCCUUUGUCUUCCCCUUGUUAGGCAGUCCGGUGACUCAUCGGACUGCCGGGUGCCAAGGAGGUAUAUUCCUCCCCCGUAUCUUCCCUAUGUCUGGCUGCGCCGCUUAUCGAAGUGGCAAAGAGGGUGCUUCAGUCGGAGGGGAAAUGGGAAAUCCUCUACCGUGAAGCGUGGAUCAGGGUUGGUUUUUGGGGCAGGGGAAGACGGUGGCCCGUGAGACAGGGCGAGACAUUUGUUGUGCAUGCAGCGACGUAGCGGCGGUGGCCUUCCAAGGAUCCAAGUCGGCGGGCUCUCAUGUUCUACUUUUCCUCGAUGUUAUUGGCGGACGCGGCCGUGCUGGCUGCCGCCUUGCCGAUCUCCAAGCUGGCUUCUUUUUCCAUCGACAAGGCGCGGUCCUGCGAACGAUGAUGUCAGAUGGCUAGUAUCUGGAGGGUUCGGCAGGCCACCCAGCCAGAUUUUAUACCGGGCUCUUCCUACACGCCGAAUGUCAUGAAAAGAGUGAAGAAAAUAGUGGAAGGAGGAGAUGGGGAGAGGAGGAGAGGUGCGAUUGUUGCCCGGCGUCUGGCCUCCUUUAAAUAGCGAGCAGGUGCGAGGAAAUUUCCCGUUGUUGUGUUUAAUGCUGAUCGGCUCAUGAACAUAUGUUUGGCUGGAGUAGCUUUCUCGGCACACACGCGAAUUUAAUGGAGGCGUGUUCAGUCGGGCGUGCAGCGGGCGACGCCAUCGGCCAGCGUGCCGCUUUAAUGCCGAAGCCAGUGAGACGUCGCGCUCGCUCUGGGACAGCUUCAAUGCGGGAGCAGACGCUCAACGACAACAUGAAUGAGGGCAGCUGACGCCGGGCAGGAACGCGUGCCGGCGAGGGUGUGGAUUGGCAUCGGUGGGCUAGGGUUUCCAAAAGUGGGUGUGGGAGCAGUCCAGACGCCUGCAAAGGCCCCAUGCUUGUCUUAGGUUUGUGAGAGAAAGUGCGUCUCAAGACUGAACGGACCGAUACAGUUGCAUGGCAAAACACGUCCCCUCCGCCUGGUCCAGACGUAUGUGGAUUUAAGGGUCGUCGUUGGAGAUGCCCUUACUCAUGAGCGAUUUUGACAAUGUUCUUCUUACCUCCUCUUUGACAUGGUAGGUAAGAAGGUAAGAGUUACUGACCAACUACUUAAUUAAGGGCUCAUAUCUAUUACAUACGUUUUCCCUUCAUAUGAAAAGAGGAGGUUAGAGAAAUCAUGUGCACCUACGCCAUGCAUGAUUUAUGGCGUAAGUAUACACGUAGUUGCCGUUGUAUAAGAUGUUCAGGUAGAGCUUGAGUUUGGAUUAACUAAACCCAUUGUAAUAGAUCUUAGCUCAUUAAUUAAUGACUUGAUUAACUCUCACACUACUAGAAAAAGGGCUGUCAGUGGUGCACCUGUUUUUGCUAUUAAUGGCGCACUACAGGUGCGCCACUAUUAACACGCCACUAGUAACAAAUAGUAAUGGCGCACCUCUGAUGCGCCACUAGUAUCCCAGAUAAUAGUGGCGCACCAUACAAUGCGCCAUUACUAUGUCCACCAGUGCGUCAUUACUAUGCCUCCCAGGAGGGCAUAUUUACCUUGUGCUCUGAGUUACUAAUGGCGCACUUUCAGAUAAUGCGCCACUGAUGUGUUUAUUUCAGUGCGCCACUAAAGUGCAAUAUGGUGCGCCACUACAAUGAAUAUUAGGAAUUAUCUUUUUUUUUCUUAUAUGAUAUUUGCACAGGUUACAAAAUACAUUACUGCACAGAAUAUAAACAGCACAACAUAUAAACACCAGAUUUAUCGAGUACAAUAGAAGAUUAGUCUCCGAAUACAAUUCAUCAUAUUAGCCUCCGAAUUCAAAAUACCGAACAAAGUUAUAACAUUACAAGCCUUGAGACCGCGAGUAGCGAGUUUGUCUUCACAUUACAAGUCGAUAUCGAUCAUCUAAACUACCAUCACAUAGAAGAGAGCUGCGGUCAUCACGAUGAGCAUCAUCGCGAUGAAACUGGUCUUCACCCGGUUCCUCCAACGCUCCCUCCUCUCUCCCGCUAGUUAGCGCGCGUAUCUAGCUUCCGCCUCCGUCCUAGUGGUGUAUCCUUUGUAACUGUUACCGCUGAAACGGUGAACCUGUCUCUGACACUCUUUCCAGUCAUCGUAGACUCCGGGAACCUUACCCUUGUACACAACAUACGACGGCAUAUCUAUGCACUAGACAAACAAAACGUUAGUAGCAAUUCACAGACAAUACAUAAGCAAUAUAUAAGUAUGCAACAAAAGGAUCGGAAGAGAAAAGCAACACAUUAAUAGCACGAUUCAUGGUCGUACUAAUAAAUAGCAUCGAUUACAUAUAAGUUGAACGACUGUCCAAACUAAAGAGACAUACAAGUUCAUUAAAGUUUAAUUACAACAUGAGCUAAUCGAUAUUUCAGAACUACAUAGCAUCACUGCUUUCGACUCGACUCAGGGACCGGAGCGUGGAUGAAGCCGCCGUCUAUCGUGAUGGUAAUGAAAUCAUGGUCGUUGUCAGCCUGCAUUUGUAGCGUUGUUUUUAUCUCACUGUUGGACAGUUGAUAUCUAAGGUGGAACUGCCCCGAGGUACGAAGGACAUCUUGAUGGAUGAUUUCCGCAAACAAUGAGUGGAUGCGAAAGAAUUCUUGUCUGAUGUCCGCGUCCUGAAUUGCCGACAAGCGUGCGGCCCAAUCUUUGAGAUUAGUUGGUAGCAGAAGGUGAUUAUGGUCCCGUACAAUCGCCCGCAUGUGAUGGAGGGCGUAGUAGGCAUCCUUCUGACCGCCAGGCAGCUGCUUGACGCAUCGUAUUGUGGGUGAACACGUGCUUGCCUUACCUACAAAUUGGCCUCCUGAAGGUGCCUCCAGAUCUGGCGUAGCCAGGAAGAGCUUCAUCAAGAACUUUCUUAAUAUUUGUGUAGUCUUUCUUUGACUGAUGGUCCGAGUCAAAAUACGUGGCCAUGGAAUAUUUCGGGCUUAAGAGGAUGAGUGUGCAAUGUGUGUCACUGCACAAAACACGGAAUGUUAGAAAAAAAAAACAAACGAUCGAAAUCUAAGAAAUCAUAUGUUACGGGGCGGUGAGGGGAUGACUUACUCGGGAAAGUAAGGCACGAGGAAGUUAUCCUUAUCUGGGUUCGCCAGAAUGACACCUUCGAGGUAUGAACUCGCGACUUGCCGGUCCCCAGCGCUGCCCAAGAUAUUGGUACGCAUGUAGAAGGAGUCGACUAUCAUGAUGUCCGGGGUCUUGUCUCUAAUGAUCCGCAUCUCCAUACUAAGCCAAAAUAGCCGAAUGAAUGUGUAGUGCAGCGGAUGAAGGUUAAACAUAGCGAAGAUGUCAUCAAACCGCAGGACGAUCAUAUACCCCCGAUGGUGCUAUCCACAAAGCCCUUGCCCUCUGGCACCUUGGCCACGAAAACCGGGUAUGCCACAUCAUUCUCGGAGAGACGCCGCUUCUCCAAAGAAAGAACACUGUCAUGCAGACUCCGCAUAGCACCGGUUGCAGCAUUGAGCAGAUUAGUCGGUAGCAUCGGCCUACCCGCCACAUGCACCCUCCUCGAGAUAUCCUUAGGUGAAGGUGGCCCGUCCUGAGCACGGAUCGUACUCGGUGCCGGCUGGCUCGCACCCUUGUUAUUCUUUCUUUUCCGUCCCUUCUUCUUCUGUUGUAAUGGGAUCGAGUUCUGCUCAGAGACCGCCUUCUUGAGUGUGUUGGGGUUGAUAAUAUUUCGCACCUCGGCUAUCUGAGGCUCGGUGAAGGCGGCAGCUGGAGGCGUCUCCUAAGAACUGAACACCAGACGAUGCCUGUUGCAAUUGGGUUUCUCCGCGGUACCAGCUUGAUCGCGGUGGUCUUUUGCAGGGUUGGGUUCUUGAGAAGGAGGCCCCAAGAAUUCGUCACCGUACCCAUGUUCGUUGAAGUACUUAUCGACGUUGGUAAAUGUACCGUCAUCGUCUGGAUCCUGUGCCAUAUGCAUGUCCGGAUCCUGUGCCAUAUGCAUGUUCGGCAUGUCCGGCAGCGUUGCGGGGGUCUUGCCAUGGCUUGGCGCCAGCACGACUGGCGGUGUUGUCUGUGGGGUGCUGUCCCCCGCCCCCAAACGAAUCUGGCAAUUCGGCCAAAGCAGGGGCCAGCUUAAGCAGGCGCUGAGGGUCAUCACAUCAUCUUCGUCGGCCCCAGGGGAUCGAAAUGGAGGUAACAAGUCGUCGCAGCCCGGCAGCACCCGAACCAAUUGAACCCUAUACACGGUGGGUGGCAUCGGAUUACCAUGGAACACGGGGUUGCCCGGUUGAACGAUUCUGGCCUCGGCGACAUCGAUCAACUCGCCGCCCACGAAGUGCAGGAGAGUGCAUGGAACAUCGGCGGCGCCCUGCGAAAACAUGUAGGGCGUCAGGGAUGCCCAGUCAAAGGCAAGGAGAUGAAGUCAUCGGCCAAGAGGCUUAGUUACCAUGAUGGCAUCGAGCUCGGCUAAUGUCGAGGCACCGCCAACGGCGGGCGUGCAAGUGACAGAGGGCCGCUUGCUGCCAAGGUGCCGGCCGGCGUAUUCUUCCCACACCCGAGUGCAUUAAGCUCCAAUGCCCGUGCCGGCGCCAGAGACACCAAUACUGCCUCCGCCGGAGACACCAAUGGCGCUGCCGGCGCGUUGUGCGAGUUGCUGCCCGUGAAGCUGGGAAUCGGGGGCGGCCCCUGUUGGCCGCCCGCAAUCCACGCCUGCAGCCCCUCAAUCAAGGUAGGCACAAUGGUGGUGAUCGUCGCUCCCAGUUGGUCUCGCACUUGCUCUUGGACUAUCUCCGGAAUCUGCGCCACUUGUGCCUUGAGUUCUUGAACCUCGCACUCCUGGCUUUCCGAGUUGGUCUUUCUCUCCUUUUGCCCAGCGUUAUAGUAUUCUGACCAUUUCGUGGACAAGCCUUUGCCGGCCACACGGCCAGCUGAUGAUGGCUUACUGAACUUAUCCUCGUAUUUCAUUAAGUUCAACGCCCUAUUUAAAGUGGUGUCCCAAGGGGAGCUCUGAGACGACCCCGCGCUACUGCUUUUAGUGUCUUGCGGAAGGAACGUGAACCAUUUAGAAAUUUGGCUUCAUUAAUUAUAAUGCAACCAUAUGGAGCUAAUUACGCGGGGGUGUAUUCCUUACCAGAACAAGCUCAAGCGCCUUGGUCUUCGGAUCCGUGGUAAGCUCCUUUAUUACCGGGUCCACCUUGUACCGGGCCCUGACAUAGUUCCUGGUCUACUUGUCACGGUAUUUAUCGAAGAGGGGCGGUAGGCCUUGCUCGGCAUGCUCUGCGUCCUCCUUGUCCCAUAUAGGUUCCGCCACUCUGUAAUCGCCGGGACCGAUUUUUUGGACCCCUAAGUUCAAGUCCCGCAUAUCUUUCCCCCACUGACUUGAUUCCGCGGCUGCGUUGCUCUCGCACUUGAUCUUGAACUCCCGGUAGUCAGCUUCGCUGAUCGAAGGAAUUGUCUCCUUGAUCUUCUCAUAACUAUCACCUCUUAGAAUCCUUCUCCUCACCGCGGCUCUCCAAGUAGCCAGGGCCAUGCUCAUCUUCGUGAGGGCGGCACUGUUCACUUUAUUCCCCGAGAGGCGUGUGUUUGCGAAGUCACCGGGGAACUUGUAUCGUUCGUGCAGCUUCGUGAAGAGGAGGUUGCGCAAAUUCCCUCGGUCACGAUGCCUUAGGUUCUCGGUGUUGAUCGAUACGGUGCUCCGGAGAAUGCACCCGAGUUGUCCCGAGUACCCACUGACUAAUUCUUUGGGCGCCGUUGGAUGCCCACUGGAGGACACUUCAGUAAAUUCCUGCUUGAUGGUGCUGAGCACGUUUGGGCGCCGGUCCUUCUGUUGCCUCUUCGGUUGGCAGCCAUCUGUGCGUGCACUGCCAUCAUCAGUGGUGGCAUCCUCGGCGGCACCAUCAGUGGUGUCAUCCCCGACGCCACUAGGGGUUGUGUAGUCAGGAUCGGUGUCUUCCGCGGCGUCCUCAUAGCGGUGAGGUUCUUCCUGCAUCUCCUGGGACAGCUCCCAGAAUGCCUUACCCGAACCGCCGGCCUCAUCGUUGUGGGCCAUGUUCGCUCUAAAUAGGAAAAAAGUUUGGUCAAAAAGUUGGUUAUUGUCAAGGAACAAGAUCUCUAAGUUGACCAAAUAACCUAAUUCUUGAGGAAUGUCACCAAAAAGUUGGUUAUUGUCAAGGAACAAUUGAGAGAUGUUUGUGAUAUUGCCUAGGUGUUUUGGGAUGGAACCUGUUAGUGUGUUGUUGCUAAGGUCCAAGUCCACGUACUCAAGGUCUAAGAUAAUUUAAUCAGGGCAGUGGCAGUGGAUUUGUGCACAAGCUAAGCUAGCUAAGACAAUAGCUUCCUUGCAACCCACAAAAGACAAAGGAAAAGGGGUGAAAAAGGGGAGAUGGUUAGCUUUGAUGAGCAGGCAUCAUCUUCCUAACCCCCUUCUUCUUGUCUCCUCUCACUAUCUCUCUCACACACAUGGCAAGCAAGGGUGUCUGAGUGUGUGAAAUAAUACUAAACUAAUCCAACCACUAAAGCACUAGAUCACUACUAUUGUAUAAUCUUUUUAUAGCUUUGUAUAUAUGUAUGGCUCCAAUGGGUGCCACUGCCAUGCAUCCCUCUCCUAUCAUUUAAUCAUGAUUAGCCCAUCAUUUUGUCCAGAGAUUAGUUUUGGUUAAUUAAUUAACUAGUGUGUGCCACAGCAGAGCACAGAUCUCCAUCUAGCUAGUAGGAGUAGCUUUCCAAGGUCUCUUUCCAAGGCUUGUUUCGGUUGAGAAUCGGGCACCUUCUAGGUCAAGAGAAUUGGGCAUGACAUUUGCUAAUUUUCUUGACCUAGGAGUGCCCCAUUCUCAACCGAAACGGAAAUUAAUCAACAUUUCAGGAGAAAGGGGCCAUUUCAAAAGAUCACAAGUAGCAGAAGCAUCACUUGACAAAAUCACAAGUAGCAGCAGCAUCACAAGUAGUACAGCAGCAGCAUCAUCACAAGUAGUACAGCAGCAGCAGUGAAUACAGUGCGUACAGCAGCAGCAUCAUCAUCACAAGUAUUGUGAUGCCCCUUCAAACAAGAGUUUCUUGCUCUCUCUUUUUUUGACAUGAACAAACAAGGGUUGCCAAUUCAAACUAACUUGUGAUGAUGUUGUUCCUUUAAAGUGCAGUUCAGUAUAUGUAACAAAAAACAGGUGACAAAACUUGCACACCCCUCUCCGCUUAACGAGGCAGGGAAACAGUGCCAGGAUAGCAACCAAACACUGUCCAGGCACAGUUUAGGGAGGCUCCAAGCCAGACACGAUUCAGUGUGGACACUAUCCAAACACACCCUACAUGACUGUGGAUACUUGUAAAAACUUGGUUUAGCUCCUUUCACACAUAGAUAAGCAGUUGGGAAAAAGACACAAUUUCCUGUAAGAACUUGAAAAAGAAACUAUGCCAUAUGUACUUCAAGACUUCAAGUAUAUAGCCAUAAAAAAUAGUUCAUGCAUGUAUGAGCCGUGGAUCGUGCUGUUUCCGAAAAGAGUAAACCCACAGGGGGCAACUUACCUGUGAUUUCAGGCUAAUUGUAUUAAAAUUUGAAGCAACUACUAUCAGACAUGUAAAAAAAGGUGCUAUCUUUCUCUUGUGCUAUCUCUCUCUUGCAAAAAAGUGCAGUUCCUUUAAAGUUUCAAAUAUGCACUUGCAUUGCAUUUAAACAUGCCCAUUGGGUGUGGGUGAACCAUUCAGAACAAUCAGCCAUGGCAAUGUCACAUUUCAGCACCAAAGUGGCUUGCACUUCUUUUUAGUUGAACUUUUUUUUAAUAGACAAACAACUAAAUGCUCAGAACUACUACUACUACCACUAGAUCAUUUUCCUCUAGAACAGAACCAAACAUUUUUUUUAUAUAAAAAUACGUAGUUCACAGAUUUUGGCACAAGAAGUCCAGUUCAUGUCGUACCAACAAUGCUUAAAAUAGUUGGCCAAACAAAAAAAUUAACAGUAAGGUGCAUUGACUUUUUCUUUAAAAGGUUAUACCUGAAGAACUAAGCUCCAGGUCCACUACAAACAAGUUUCAGUUCCAAGUUUGGCACUUGCUGUCCGACACAAGCCACAGCCCCCUUGAACAUUCAGCAAGUGCACGAAACAAACGCAUGUUACAAGACAAAAAACAUAUUGGCGCAUCAAUUGGAAGCCAUCCAUCAUAUACCAUCAGAAAAAGGCUAGAGAGAAUUGGGGAAACAAAGGUGAACCUCUCUCUUCUUGCACUCCUUGUAGUUGUCGAACUGUUGCUGGCACUUGCUCUUGUCCUGGUUGGUCUCCAGACCUGGAGACACGGCACAUCAUUAGAGAUUUCAUCAAAUACACACGAAAUUGUCCAGAAAUUAUGGCCAGAAAGUGAACUGGGUUGAUUGGAUUAGAAAUUUAGGAUUAGGGGCGGAGGAUGCGCGUACACUUGAGGGAGGCGGUGUAUUGGGGGAAGCAGGAGGAGUCGGCGAUCCGGGCCGCGCUGGGGUAGGGCCGGAGUUGAGGUGGAGCGGAGACCGGAGCUGAGGUGGCCGGUGUUGAGGAAGACGGGGGCGACGGGGAGCGGGCCGGCUGGUGGUGGAAGCCCCAGCCCAGGCACGGGAUCAGCUCCGAGGGAGGAGAGCGCGAGGUCGGCGGGGACGGGGGAUCUCCAGCUCGAACGGAUCCUCCAAGACAGCGUAGCGGAGCUUGGCGCAGCUCCUAGGCACAACGACGGAGCACGGGGCGGUCGGUGGCUGCGGUGACGCGCGGCGGCCGCGCUCGGGGAGGCGGGAGCCGCGAAGGGUUCGGUCGGCUGGGCGCGCCGCGGCGGAGGGCCGGUAGUGGCGGCUUGAACCCUAGGUCUCGUGCUCGGGAAGGGAUCCGGUGGUGGGCUCGGGGAGGAGGCGGCGCUCGGGUGGGAGGGAGGGGGUGGAUGGGUGCAGCGAAGGCGAGGGAGGGGUGGGUGGGGGCGUCGGAGCCCGGGAGCGAGGUCGCCGGUGGGUGGGGGCGGCGGUGGUGGUGGAAGGGGAUCGGCGGCGGUUGCGAGAGGGGAGAAGGACGAACGGGUAGGCGAGGGGCGAGAUGGGAGAGGCGAGGGACGAGGGCUGGAUAUUUUAGUGGGGGAAGGUUAGCAAUGGCGCACCUCCUAGGGGUGCGCCAUAAAUACCGUGAUAGCAAUUGCGCACCCUCCCCUGGUGCGCUAUUACUAACUUUUUUUUGGAUAUUUAGUUGCAUAUAAUAUUUUUUUAGAAAAUAACGAUCAAAUUUGAAAACAUUUAUGAAUGUGAAAAAUAUCAUCAAAUUUGAAAACAUUUAUGAAAAAACAUGAAUAUGAAAACAUUUAUGAAUAUGAAAAAAUAUCAUCAAAUUUGUUAUUUGAAAAUAUAUUUUUUGGAUUUUUAGUUGCAUUCAUUUGUGAAUUAGUAAAACAUUUAUGAAUAUGAAAAAAUAUCAUCAAAUUUGAAAAAAUAUUCAUGAAUUCAAAAAAUGCCCAUGAAAUUUAACAAUAUUCAUGAGUUCAAAAAAUAUUAACAAAUUCAAUACUUUUUGUGAGUUAGAAAUUCAAUACGAGAAUAAACAUAAAUAAAAAUUGGUAUACCGGAAUAAACAUAAAUAAAUAUUCAUGAGGACUAGAACAGAAGAAAUGUCAUUUCCAUAUGUCGAAAUACAAUCGAGAAAUGAAGACUACAAUUUAAAUACAAUCGAUCUUAGCUAGCUAUCUUUUCACAAUCUUCUUGUCCUUCUUUUUCGCAAAUGGAGUUCUUCUCUUGAACAGACGUCCUUUAGGUAGGAUGGUCUUGCUUCUUCUUGUGGUGUAUGGUACUUCAUCGUCGUCAUCAUGUUCCAUCUUCGGGUCGCCGUACUUCUCGAAGUCUUUCUCAUUGGCGACUCUAUCCAUUCCGAUGAUCUUCAUUUUGCCUCUCCUCACGACAACACGACUGGGCUUUGACAGGUCCGUAAUGAAGAAGUAUUGGUCCACUUGGGAAGCCAGUACCCAUGGCUCAUUUUUUGCGGUGAUAUUUGCGCCCGCGGUCUUGGAUUUGGCUUCGGGUAUAACCAUGGUGGUGAAAUACGGGUGUUCUUUUAGGACGCUCUUGGCCCAUCUGACACGGAACAUCGGGACCUUCUCUCCAGCGUAGCUCAGCUCCCAGAUCUCCUCGAUCCUUCUGUAGUAUCUGUCCUUGUCGUUACCGGUGUAGGAUUCCAUCGUUAUCCUGGAGUUCUGAUAAUCAUCGCUCUUCAUGUCCUUUUCCUCGGUGUAGAAUGUGUAGUCGUUGAUAUCAUACGUCUCAUAGGUCAUCAGGUUGUGCUCGGCGCCCUAUGACAAUGCGAAUAUGAGUUUUCCUUCCGCAGAAGAAUCCUCAUGUAAAGGGUACGACAGAAGCUUCUCCUUGAACGAAUGCGUGAAACAUGAGUUGUGCUCUUUGAUUAUAUUUCCGUCCGUCCUCUGUUGGCCUCGGUCAUUGUACGGCUUCUCAAUAAAGGUUUUGUGCUCUACCACCCAAGGAUAGACCACGUCUAUGUGUUGUAGCACGACUAGGUUUGCUCUUUCAAAGUCGGUGAGUCGACCCUUGAAGUCGACAUGCAUUUCGCGGCGACCCUCGUGGUGACCCCAUCCAGCGAGCCUGCUGAGGUGCCUGUUGACGGGCAGACCAACGGGGUUCUCGAUGCCUAGAUAAUUCGUGUAGUAGGAGAUGCACUCUUCGGUCAGAAAGCCCUUGGCUAUGCUUCCCUCUGGACGUGACAUGUUGCGAACGUAUCCUUUGAUGACACCGUUCAUCCUUUCGAACGGCAUCAUGCUGUGCAGGAACGUCGGCCCGAGUUGGAUGAUAUCCUCCACGAUAUGGACCAGCAGAUGCACCAUAACGUCAAAGAAUGCAGGCGGGAAGUACAUCUCAAGCUCGCAUAGUAUCACCACGAUCUCUUCCUGUAGCCUUCUGAGCUGCCUCACGCCAACCGACUUCCGAGAGAUGACGUUGAAAAAGUUGCAUAUGCCAAAUAGCAUUUCACGGACGUGCGCGUCCAUGAUCCCACUGAUUGCAAUUGGAAGUAUCUGCGUCAUCAGCACGUGACAGUCGUGAGACUUCAUCCCGCUGAACAUCUGCUUCGCUGAGUCUAGGUAUCGGCUUAUCUUCUCCGGUAACCGUAAGGAAGUUUUACUCCUACGAGGCAGGUGAAAAACUAUUCGUUCUCCUCCUGACUUAGAGUGAAGCACGUGGGAGGGCAGUCAUUUCCAAUCUUCUUGGCCUUUUUGCCUUUGCGACGACUUUCUGUGUCCUUCGCCUCAUCAUCAUCAUCAUCAGCAUCAUUAUUAGCGUGAAGCUCCUCCCUGAUGCCCAUUGAUUUCAAGUCUGCCCUUGCUUUCGGCCCAUGUUUGGUCCUCUCUGGCAUGUUGAGCAGGGUACCAAGCAGACUCUCGCACACGUUCUUCGUGAUAUGCAUGACAUCAAGGCUGUGAGGCACACGGAGGAGCUUCCAGUAUGGCAAGUCCCACGUAUUGGCUGGCGUUUUCCAUAGCGUGUCUAGCUCCUCUUUCAGCAGCCCUAAAUACAGACUGAUGUCGUUCCCUGGUUGUUUCGGCCCUUCAAUUAGCAUACUCAUGUGAAUGUACUUCCUCUUCAUGCACAACCAGGGGGGAAGGUUGUACAUCCACACAAACACAGGCCAGGUGCUAUGUGUGCUUCUCUGGCUGCCAAACGGAUUGACUCCAUCGGUGCUCGCGCCCAGCAUGAUGUUCCUUGGAUCGUCCCCAAAUUCUAGGUGUUCGAAGUUCAACGCUUGGCACUGGCUCGCAUCCUUAGGGUGACUCAGCAUCUUGUCUUUUUUAUUUAUCUCCGGAUCAUUUCCAUCAUAUUCUCGCUUCUUCUCCUCCCUAUACGCGUGCCAACGCAGGAGCUUUGCUACCUUAGGGUCCAUGAAAUACCGCUGCAGACGAGGAGUGAUCGAAAAGUACCACACCACUUUUCGAGGAGCUUUAUUCCUCUUCUUGUAUCGAGUGACGCCGCACGCCGGACAUAUGGUAGACUCCGCGUGCUCGUCAAAUGAUGCAAUUGUUCAUGCACACAUGAUAUUUCACGUGCGGUGAAUUCAGAGGACACACGAUUUUCUUCGCCUCCAUGAAACUGGUCGGGCACUUGUUCCCCUUGGGAAGACGUUCGUGCCAGAAUGACAUGUUCUCGUCUAAGCAUGCAUCGUUCAUUUUGUGUUUUACCUUCAUCUACAGAGCCAUGAGCGUUACUUUCAGGCGGGUAUCCUCGGGCCUGCAUCCUUCAUACAAUGGAGUAACCGCGUCUAUCUCCAGUUGAUCCAGCUUGGCUUUCUCUCGGGCGGCAGCUCUUGCGUUAUCCGUCUACUUGAGAAGCAGCUCUUGAAUAUGAGGGUCCUGCACCCAGCCCAUCGAUGGUCCAUCGUCGUCUGCUCCGUCGGCAUCUUCAUCUUCAUGAUCAUGCCCUUCGUCUGCUCCGGCAUCUUCCUCAUCAUCAUGUCCUGCAUCUUCUACAUGAUGACUGUGUACAGCAUCACCGUCGUGAUCAUGUCCUGGAGAUUCUUCGUCUUCUCACCCGCUCGAGCAGCGGUGGUUGUCUUGAUGCCCUUCCUCAUUUCUUGCCCGGCCCCCAUGGACGACUUCAUAAUCAUCUUCAUCACCUUGCCACCGAUAGCCAUCCAUGAAACCACGCAAGAGUAGGUGGCCCCGCACCUGUACGGAAUCCGGUUCCAUAAGGCUCUUCAGCUUGCAUCUUCAACACAGACAUCUUAUCUCCGUCUCAUUCUUUUGAAUCAUCUCGGGCUUCGCGGAGCUCAAAAACCUAUUCAUGAUGCCUUCGGUCAUCGUGCGGACCAUGGUCGCCUGCGGGGUAGAGCAAAGCAAUAUUUUAGAACCAAAAAAAAAUUGGCAUGACUUUGCCUAAAAAUAGGACCAAAAAGAAUGCGUGCCAAAUUCUUGCCGAGUGGUGGCGCACAGAGUGAGUGGUGCGCCAUUACUAGUUAAAACUAGUAAUGGCGCACUAUCCCCUGAUGCGCCAUUACUAGUUUUAAAAAAAAUUGUUAGUAGUGGCGCCAUUAGUGAUAUGAACACUAAUGACGUACCUAUACAUGGUGCGCCACUGCUAUAUAGCAGUCGCGCACCACAUUUGUGGUGCGCCAUUAAUGUUCAUAUUAGUUAUAGCCCUUUUUUUAGUAGUGCUACCUUCUUAUCUCACAUGUAAAAAGAGAAGGUAAGAGGGAGCAUGUUAAAAUUUGCCAUGUAUAUGCAAUGCGUUCUUAUUGACGGAUGGAUGCGGUUGGGUCAGUGGUCGUGGUCGUCACCGCGUUGGUCUUCAUAUCUCCUCCUCCUUAUACUACUACGUAAUACAUUAGAAUUAGCGUUAGGUAAACUUUAGGUAGGAGACUGAUAAUAGACAAGGAUGAUGUCCUUGUCACGUUUGUUAUGUUAAUAUACAGUCAGGCUCAUUCAUACAAGGCUUGCCCCAGCACUGAGUUACAAGAAAUCAGCUUAAGAUAUCUUGCAAUCACACCAUAAUCAUACACAUAUGUGAUUUUUAUGCAAAUCCUUUCUUUGACCUACUACGACCAGCAACUACCGGCCUGCACAAUUUUCUAUCAUUCCAAAACAAAACGAGCUAUUGUACAACAUGGAGAUAAGACAAUUACAAGGGGAAGAGAUCUAAGAAGACAAAGUACAUAACCAAGAAAUAAGAAUUAUUGCUUAUAGAAAACAAUUUUUUUUGAAAAGGAGGAAGACCCCCGGCCAAGCCUAACAUCCAAGACCUGAGGCCCCGACCAAGCCACUUGCCGGCUAUGGGGCACACACCGGUCCGGCGCACACACAGAGGCCGCCGCAGCCAACUGCCACCAAUCCAUCUUCAGAGCUGUACUGACGCAUCAACCUUGCCUGGUCUAGCUGCUGUCGAUGCCACCACGACGCCAGACAACGCCACCAUCAUGGACUCGUCCAUCAACACAAGCCUAGCAGCGAGACCGCGCUGCUCCAUGCCGCUGAGACCCACCAUUGUUGACAUGUCAGAUGCAAAGCUGCUCCUCCUUUACGAACACCACAUGCAGCCACUGGUGCCAUCCCUCCACUCCCGACCGAGCCCCAAUGCCCCUGACGACGCCACCAAGAAGGUCACGACGCGAACAGCGCCGCUACCGCCAAAUUCAAAGAGGAUUGGAGGUUUUCACUCGGCAUGAGAUCGGGGUGGGUAGAUUGGGCCCUCAGCUGCGCCUUCAUGAAGGAAAGCGACACCCAUGGGCGCCGCCGCCGCCGGGCUGGCCUGACCGGCCAAGGUUUCCCCCGGACACAAGGUACACCACCAGGGCUCACCAUCACUGAAGCCUGUAGCCGCAAACCACCGGGACGCCGAGACAGGCAACAGGGGAAAAGGGAACCUCCAGAUCUGACGCCACGACACCAACCCAUCGGAGGAUCACGGGCCACCCGAUCCAAUCCCCAGCAGCCCACCUGCCCCGCUGCGCCCGGACACGGAGGCCAACCCAAGGGCUGCCACCCCAGAUCCAGGGCCCUCCGCUCGAAAUCAGGCAGAGCAGAGCCAGCCUGCCGCCACGACCAUCACUGGGUCACCGGCCGGCCGCCACGCUGUUGUGCUCCAGAUGGAGGUCGCCGUGGGCCAAAUCGGUGCCGCCGCCAUCGAUAAGGGACUCGUCCUCAAGAUUGGGGAUCCCGCGCAUCCCGAGCCCCGAGUGAGAGGGAGAUGCCUCCGCGUCGCCAUCACAUGCACGGGCUUAGCCCGGCGCCAACCACCGGCGGCGGCGGAGGGGAGAGCGGGAAGGAGGAGGGGCACCGGCGGCGGAGGGUUGGGUCCCCUUGGUCACCCGCGCGGUGGGCGAUGGAGGGGAAGGGGGAGGGGGAGGGGGAGAGCUUACAGAAAACAACUACAUGUCACUAAGGAACAGAAUGAGAGAUCAGAUAGAAAAGUAGAGAAAUGAGUAAACGGCUUGUGGCGUAUGCUUGCCCAUAGCAGAAGGUCAUCUCCACAACUAGGAAUAAGAACAGGGUAGUCCUCUUUUUUUUUGUUAAAUCUUCGGGUUAUGGUGCUUCCAAAUAUUCCAAAGAAAGCAGAUGCACAACAAAGAGGGGACCUAUUUGGUAGAAAAUCGAGGCCGAGGACAAGCAAUCACAAGCAUAACAUCAAUAUUUGUUGACAAGGUUUUGCAAACUAGUCUACUCACCAAGCAGGGUUACGAGAGCUCCUCCCCAGGUACUAAAUUGAGAUGACAAAUUCCACUAAGGCAAUCGAACAACAUGUCUAGCCAAUCACCACUACCGGUCAGGCCAUCCCUGCCAUGUCCCCCGCACCUUCCCUCGUGUGAUUCAUGUCUAGACUACCAGUUUCGUCUAGUCUAUUUUGGCAACCCGUGGUGCCUUUAUAUGUUAGACCAUGGCUACGCGUAUUUGAUUCAAACACCUUACAUUCCGCAAAGUACAAGUCUAAUAAUAGUACAACUCUAACACAUAUUUGACAAAAUUCAAACAAACUUAUGACUCGUGAAUAUGUCUUCGUCAUCUUCAAGCUCCCAAGCAUGGACCACAAUGUACUAAAUUUGGACUUGAACCAUCAGGCAUGAUAGAGCAUGAUGAACAAAACAUACAUGAUAAUCGGACCAUUAUAAGUACUAAACAAUCUAGACAUGCAAUCUGAUAGAUAAGAAAGCAUAGGAUGUCCAUGUUGAUUUGUAGUACGAAUACACCAAUGGAAAAGCCUAAUUAAAAGAAGCGAUAAGAGUACUUACGAGAUGGGUGUAGCAUAAGCAACGUUAGAUGCAGCGGCGGUGUCCUUAGUAUUGUGGUUGGACGGAGCCAACAAGUAGUCCAUGAACUAGUUGAUGGAGCAUGAACAUUCGAGUAAUCAUGGGAGUAGUAGCAGUAUUGUGGUCCCCAAAAACCUAAUCACCUCUCUCUUUUACAUGAUUGCAAGAGACGGGGUUCCGGAGGCCUGCUCCCUCCCCCUUCACGGUGCACGUCGAGAAGCAGGAUAGAGAAACUUAGAAGCGGCACAGUUCACAUAGACUUCAGUCAAAUAUUAAAAUUCCUUAUUCAGAUGAAACAUCAAAGUUAAGAGCCAACAUCAAAACAAAAGGAGCUCCACAUGUUGGUUCUUUGUCCAAUGAACUAAUUUUUCAUCCAGCACUAAACAAGCUUGUGCCAUGACACCAUCCAUGCAUAGAGUGGAAUACUUCACUUGCUAACUCUUCGGACGGUCUUACACCCCAGUUCGACACUUCUUUAUUUUCCUGUUUCCUCUGCAAAAUUGGCCAUGAUUUAAUUCAAAACCCCACCAUGUUGAUCUUAGUACAUCGAUAAUCAAUUUUCUUAUCAUCAAAACAAGCACCACUUCUAAUUAUUCAAAUGGUCAAGAAAACAUAAGCAAUUCCAACCAUUACUAGAUGUUUGACUUGCCUUGAAAAUCAAGAAAUCCAUGAAGUAAACGUUUAUUCGACUGAAUGUCUGAUUCAGAUACUCUAAAUGUAGAAGGCACACUGCAUAACAUUCCAAACUAGUUUUGCAAGAGAACACUUAAGGAAAAAGAUCAACUAUUUUAUCUAAACCACAAAAUUGACAUCUAUUUUCUUAUUGUUAAUCCCUCUUCAGGAUCAACAAUUAAGGAAAAAGGUGAUAAAAUUUUAUUCCCCCUUCUCGCAGCUUUUUCGGAAGUCCCUUAGGUAAAUCUCUGCAAUUUAACAUGAACGUGAAGUAAAAAUUAUGCUAUGGUGAUCAAAUAAGCAUCAAAUUGGAGUACUUACCUUAUGAAAUCACGUAGUGUUGCCGUGUAUAUCCUAGUUUUGCAGAGGCCGGGUGUGCGCUCAUUGUCAUUGUACCAAUUGAUGUUACAUUAUGAGUCAAUACAAAACGCCCUUUGUCGAGAAAAUGAAAUCAUGAUGCAAAAUGCAUAUAUCAAUAAUUAAUCAUUAUUGUUUCCAUAGCAUCGACACCACAUAUAAUGCAUGCAUGUACUCCCUCCGUUCCUAAAUAUUUGUCUUUCUAGCUAUCUUAAAUGGACAACAUACGGAUGUAUAUAGACAUGUUUUAGAGUGUAGAUUCACUCAUUUUGUUCCGUAUGUAGUCACUUGUUGAAAUCUCUAGAAAGACAAUUAUUUGGGAACAGAGGGAGUAUAUGUUAGUACAAAUUGAUAAUCCAUCUUGUCCCUUGUUAACAGGCACCAACUGGACAAGUGGUCACAGGGCAUGCCACGACCAGGCCACUAUAGUCGUGAGACAUAUAUUAGUCAGAUGUUAUUCUAUACUUUCAAGGAAGAAUAAGAGUCCGACGUUAGCACGCGCAAGCAUGCUAAGUGUGUGUGUGUAAGUUAAGUAUGUGAAACAUGCAUGAACUUGCGCCGAUUAUACUGUUAGCCGUUUUAGGUUUUGGAUUCAUCGGAGUCUUGCCACCGCUCUACCUUAGCUAGGGCAUCUUCUAGUCACUGAACCGCCGUCACACACGCCACUGUGAUAACAAAUGCAGACCUUGAUACCGAAUGCCAAAUUGCUGCUCGAAAGAAACUGGAUGAACCCACAGUACAUGUAUGUCACUAUUUCCUUUUAUUUAGUCGCCCAACAACAACCUGCACAUGGCUAGACAACAUAACCGGAGAAAAACUUUACUUGGCCGCAACGUGGACUAGCACGCUUCUGGCCUACAAGCAAAGUACCUACGGAUUCCAUUGAGCCGAGUUUACAAAUUAACAUAUUGCAAUAUAAACUAGAGUACUUGACGCAAACACACCGCUUAACUUCGUCCUGGUCGGACGAUGUCGGAGAUCAGGUGGUCUCACCCCUUUGGAGGCUUACUCUCACUUUUUAUUCUUAGGCGGCAGCUUCCUGUUCUUCUUCUAAGUCAGCAUCGGGUUAUUCCUGGACUGCACCUGGUUCUUCUUGAACGACGGUGGUUUUGUCAACUGGGUACUGAUUGACGGUGCCUUGGUCUUGUUAGGGGCAUCCUUUGCAGGUUCCUUCCCCUUGCCCAUGACGGGAUCUCCUUCUCUUCUUCUUCUUCUUCUUCUUCUUCUUCUUCUUCUUCUUCUUCUUCUUCUUCGGCGAGGUGGCUGAGGCGAGGUGGCUGAGGUGAGGUGGAUGUGGUGCUUACUUUGUUCUUGUUGGGUUGAGGAAGCCCCAUAGCAACGACUGCAUAUAUAUAGGAGGCACGGAGAAGGUCUUGGGAAAGUGCUCCGGCCGGACGACGCGCUAUCACGGGAGGAGAAUGGUUUGGUGGCGUCGCCAGUGCUACUGCUGGUAGUCAGUCUCUUUUAUUUCAUUUUGGGGAGUAGAUAUGUAUAUUUGAUGCAUGCAUUUGUUCUUAACGGAUGGGUACGCAGUUGGCUCAGUGGUCGUGGUCGUCGCCACGUUGGUCUUCAUUUCUUCUCCUACUUCUCCUUACAGUAGUACUUCAGAAUAAGCGUUGGUGGUUAAGUUUUGGUACCAAAUGCCACACGGCUUGUGACUAGAUGUUAGUCAUAAAUAUGCAUGUACUGUACGUCAUGCAUCAUUUAUGUAGUAACUAUACACGCCGUUGUCGUUGCACGAGUUGUUUGCCUAAAUUCAAAACUUUUGAUGACGGGCCAAAACUAUGUCAAUAUUCUCUGGUAAAAAUGGUGGGACCCGUACUAACGUGUGGGAGGACCACGUGCCGGCGUAAGUCAAGUGUUUGGACCCACGUGUCAUACAUAGUUCAUUUUGUCCAUGUUAUAUUUAGAGUGGAACCAUGUAUCAGUACAAGACAUGUGUCACCGUUUCGACUAAUCCGUGUUGUCGUAGAUUUCUUUCAUUUCAAUCUAAUUCAUGCAUGACUUUUAACAUAUCUUCAAAGAAUACGAGCUGCUGUAUUCCUGUUGCUUUUAUUACUUUAAAAAUAUAAUCAAUAGAAGUUCCUGGUUAGUUCAUUUAGAUUCAGUGGCACACAUACAUGGUUUCGACAGUAAAGCUAGUAGCUUAUACAAUAUUCCGCGGCCGGUGUCCAUCAGAGGUAUAGAUACCACUAACGGGACACAUUACAACACCGCCCAGUGGCCUUAUCUCUUGUAGUGAUGGACUCUUUUGUCAUUCGUUCUGUUGUAACCAUGAGUGGGACAAGAUACUCGAUUUGCCUAUCUUAGGAUUUGUUGAAUGCAAGGUGGUUAAGGGAGGUUCUUAAAGAAAUAAACCAACUUUUCUUUGUGCAUCAAUUCUUGUUCAUAGAGGGCAGAUGCUUAAUUAGGCAUCCCUUCUAUAGAGAUAACCGAUGGUGCUUAAACAAGAAACUUAAAGGUUUUUCCUUUAGAAUCAGCGGACGUUCAUAUACAUGAAUUUACACUCCCCUAUGAAUUCACAUACGCACACUCUAUCCCUUAUGAGCGCCUCUGAGAAAUUGAACCAACAGGUUGCGAGAUUGACGAAGUCAUGACCUGUGCAUCGCUGUCGAUGGGUCGUCGCUUACAGCGAAAGAAUAAGUCGUUAAACCCAGAAAUAUAUCGGGAAAACUGCAAACACCCUUCUCAAGUCAAGGACUUGAACCCGGUUGGAUAGCUUCCACCACAAGGAACCUAACAAACUGUGCUACGCUCAAUUCACCGAAGAGAUAAUGGUUGCGGUUUAUUAACCCUAUAUGUAUGUCUUUUUCGGCUCUUUCUUCUUAUUCAACUUCCCAACAAUAACCUCCCACAUCACUCAUAACACAACACAAGGAAAAAAAGGACUUCAUUUGGCCGCAACGUGAACCAGCACGCUUCUGGCCUAUAGACAGACUGGCUACGGAUUCUACAGCAGUGAUCGGAUCGAAUCAAAUUUACAAAUUAACUUACUGUAACGCAAACUGAGCUACUCGACAUAAACACACAUAACUUCAUCCUGGCCAGUGGACGUCGAUCACUGCACGGCUGUUGUCACCUCUUUCGAGGCUAAUUCUUCUUAGACGGCGUCGUCUGUUUCAUCUGCUUCUUCUGAGGCAGGAGCGACUUCCUCCUAUGGGCUGUCUUCGUCAAUUGCGUAUUGCUUGACGAUGCCUUCACCUUCUUUGGGGGAACCUUUGCAGCUUGCUCGCCCAUGACAAGAUUUGCUUCUUUUCUAAUAAUUCUUCUUCUCCAGUGGUAGCUGAGGUGAGGUGGAUAUAGUGUUUACUUUGCUCUGGUUGGGUUGAGGAAGCCUGCAGCAAUGGCUCCAUAUAUAUAGGAGGGGGAAGGUCUUUGAGAAAGCGCUUCGGCCAGACAACACGCUUCCACCGUGUGUGAGAAUUAUUUGGUGGCAUUAAUGUUUCUUGUGCCAGUCUGUUCUCUUUUGGGGAGUAGAUAUGCAUUAUAUUCAAUGCAUAUUAGUUAAGGAUCGCUGCUCAAUGGUUUGGUCAAUGGUUGGGUAUGCGGUUGGGUCAAAGGUUGUGGUCGCUGCCGCGUUGGUCUUUGUUUCUUCUCCUCCUGCUCCUUAUAUUACUACUACAUCAGAAUAAGUGUUGGUGGUUCAGUUUUGGUAGCACACGCCAGACACACAGAUGGCUUGUUAGUUGUUAGCAAGUACACACGAUGUUGCCGUUGCAUGGGAUGUUUUGCUAGAGCUUGAGUUUACAUUAGCCAAACCAAUUGGUAUCAUGUACGACAAAUCUUGUAUAUAUGUUUUGGUAGAGCUUGAGUUUAGAUUAGCUAAACCAUAAUAACUUUGUAUAUUAGUUAGGGGUCGAGUUGACAAGAGAGUUAUUUACCCAGGUUCAGACCUUGUGAGGGAGAACAUUAAUCAAAUUAUAUUUCAUGAGCUGGCCAGUAGGCAAAGAUCAUGUCAAGGUUAAAAAAUGAAUAGGAAUCGGCCGGCGCACGCACAAGCUGCCUAGCUUCGUCGACCUUCUCUUCUUUAUUUAAUUUACUCCUCCUGCUACCACGGCAUCUCGUUAACCACUAAUAUUGGAGCAAGCUAAGUAUGUUAAUACCGCUACAUAAGAACACCACUCAACCGCUCGCUAGAGUCUUCCCGCUGCUCAAUUACUAGCGCACUACCUUGAGCUGUCCCGCUUGUUUCUCCUUGGUGGUAAUGCUAAAGAAUAUUGCAAGAAACUGGAAUGAACACGCAAAAGACAGAGGUAGUUCAGCAACGUGUUAAUUAAUCACGUGUACGUCUUUUCUGACUCAUUUCUUUUAUUUGGUCACCCAAUAACACCAGAAAAACACAAAUAGCCACAACAUGAACUGGCACACUUAAUGUUUUUGCAGGAAAAACUCUCGUAAUUCAAACAAAAAAAAUUCAAAAAAAAUAAUUCAAAAAAAAAAUCAUAAAAUUUCCUUUAGUCCCGGUUGGUGUUACCAACCGGGACUAAAGGGCCAGGGCAUUAGUACCGACCCUUUAGUCCCGGUUCAUGAACCGGGACUAAAGGCCCUCAUCAACCGGAACAAUAGGCCCUUUUUCUACUAGUGUCACUUAGUUCCGAGAUACAAGGCCAUUUAUAAAAAAAAUCUAAGAAAUACAGUUUACCACUAUUUGAAUUGAUACUGAAAAUUGCAUUUUUUUUGGAAUGUUGAAAUACUAUGAACAAAAAUCUAAUCAUGCGUGUUUUGUUUUGACAAAUCCUUGCAUACAUUUAAAUUGAUAUUAGAAUCAAAUAAGCUUUCUAUCUAAAAUUGUGAUUUAUUUGCUUCCAAGACAUCAUAUUCUCGUUUGAGAAUGUAAAUAUUAUUACCUUCUCCUCUAUGCUUUAAUCUCUAUUGUCUCCUCUUAUUCAGUUCAUAGAUCGUAUGUCUCCUUCAUGUAAUCACAUGUACUCACACCAUUAUAUUAUUUAAGUUUGACCGACAAUAUGACUAUAUCUAAUGGUUGUGUAUGUGAGUGAGGUUGCUCGUUCUCAUCCACCUAGGUAAUCUUUUGGAUUGGCAUGGCUGUUCUGUCAUAUUGUUGAAGUAGAUGCAUAUGUGUAUAUUAUUGUGUAAAUGCUCACCGGCACCAAGAGAGAAUGUGAAACUUCCAAUAUUUUUCAUGGGCAACAUAUAAAAGAUAAGCUAAGAUGGCCCUAUAGCGCAGAUAAAUGUCACUAUAUCCCGUUAGAAGCACUAAAUUGUACAUAUGUGUUGUUUAGCAGGAUUCUAGAGGUUAUAGCCGCGGAAAACAUUCAACACACAUCUCUAUCCAAUUGUGAUAAUCAUACAUGCUAGCACAUUAUUAGACAUAUCUGUAGUAUGCUAAGUGUAACAAUAUGGCCUCUUCUACUUUGUUGAAGCAUCGUAUCAUGUUACAAAUAUAACGAAAAAUCUUCAAGAUCUGCUUGUAAAUCCCCAAGUACAUAAAUUCCCAUUCAAUUUAGAAGUCCGACAAGAUGCCAAGGCCGGCUCAUUGGGGGCAUUCCUCAAGUAUGUUACAUGACUUGACUAUAUAAUUUUAUUUCCCAUGCAGAGGUAGAAGAAAACCGUCCUCAAUAGUGUCUCCUCUUAUUCAGUUCAUAGAUCGUAUGUCUCCUUCACGUAAUCAAAUGUACUUACACCAUUAUAUUAUUUAAGUUUGAUCAACAAUAUGACUAUAUCUAAUGGUUGUGUAUGUGAGUGAGGUUGUUCGUUCUCAUCCACCUAGGUAAUCCUUUGGAUUGGCAUGGGUGUUGUGUCAUAAUGUUCGAGGUAGAUGCAUAUGUGUAUAUUAAUUGUGUGAAUGCUCACCGGCACCAAAAGAGAAUGUGAAACUUCCAAAAAAAUUCAUGGGCAACAUAUAAAACAUAAGCUAAGUUGGCCCUAUAGCGCAGAUAAAUGUCACUAUAUCCCGUUAGAAGCACUAAAUUGUACAGAUGUGUUGUUUAGCAGGAUUCUAGAGGUUAUUACCACGGAAAACAUUCAACACACAUCUCUAUCCAAUUGUGAUAAUCAUACAUGUUAGCACAUUAUUAGACAUAUCUGUAGUAUGCUAAGUGUAACAAUAUGGCCUCUUCUACUUUGUUGAAGCAUCGUAUCAUGUUAUAAAUAUAACGAAAAAUCUUCAAGAUCCGCUUGUAAAUCCCCAAGUACAUAAAUUCCCAUUCAAUUUAGAAGUCCGACAAGAUGCCAAGGUCGGCUCAUUGGGGGCAUUCCUCAAGUAUGUUACAUGACUUGACUAUAUAAUUUUAUUUCCCAUGUAGAGGUAGAAGAAAACCGCCCUCAAUACUGGAUCCAUCCAGAGAUGGCGGCAGUUUACAACCUCACAUCGACUGGAGACUAGCAUCGCCCUUGGAAAUGCCCUUGUAUUGCUGCUAACGUAUUUCUCAUUUCCCAAUAAACUGGAUGCAUUCAUGGAACAUGUAUGCCAAUCUUUCCUUUUAUUCAAUCACCAACAACAACAUGAUGCACGACUCAACAACACAUGUAAGAAGAAACUAUACUUGGCCACCACGUGAACAAGCACACUUAUGAUUUACAUACUGAGGUUACUAAUUUAGAUAACACAACAUAAACUGACGCACAAGACAGAGACACAAUUGACUUCAUCAUUGCCAGACAACAUGGAUGAGAACGCGGCUGCUCUCACCACUUUUGAGGCCACUUCUUAUUUCUUAGGCUGCGGCUGCUUCUUCUUAGCCAUCAUCUCUUUUUCUGAGUCAGCCUCACGUUUAUCCUACGGUUACGCCCCUUCUUAGGAUUCCUUCGUUGUGCCCCCGGCUUAUUGGUUGACGGUUGCGUUGGCCUGUUAGGGGGAACCGUUGUACCUGGAACCUUUGGACCUGACUUGUCCAUGACGCCUCCUCCCCUCCUCCUCCUACUCCUCCUCCUCCUCCUCCUUCUUCUUCUUCUUCUUCUUCUUCUUCUUCUUCGCUUGUGCAAG
RNAcentral lists this long non-coding RNA (57780 nucleotides) under Triticum aestivum (bread wheat). RNAcentral's name for it is "long non-coding RNA (TAES_LNC017216)". Lineage: Eukaryota; Viridiplantae; Streptophyta; Magnoliopsida; Poales; Poaceae. The record is from RNAcentral.